RNAcentral lists this long non-coding RNA (48826 nucleotides) under Phaseolus vulgaris (common bean). Its description in RNAcentral is "long non-coding RNA (PVUL_LNC000068)". The stretch from base 39530 to 39601 matches the Rfam family "tRNA". Lineage: Eukaryota; Viridiplantae; Streptophyta; Magnoliopsida; Fabales; Fabaceae. The record is from RNAcentral.
UUUUUUUUUUCAAAGUGAUGUGAUUGUUUGUGAUGAUUGGUGAUCAAAUAAUGAAACUAUUUUUUUAAAUACUGCGAAUAUUAAGGAGAUAUGGAAGUAUAUUGUGUCAAACUUGAUCACAAAAUUAAAAAGUGUUAUGUCUUACAUUAUCACCCUAAAUUUGUUCCUAUUUUCAAAGUACUUAUGUACAAUCUUAUAUUGUGUUUAUAUGUUGUUUCAGAUAGUCAUUGAAGUUAUUUAAAAAUAUAAAAUUAUACUUUAUUUAAAUUUGUUUAAUUUAAAAAAAAAGUUUUUUAAAAUUGAUAUGAAAGUCAAAUUUAAGACACGUAAUUUAAUUUUUUUAAAUUAUCAUAAAGAGCACGACUGUGAUAUUUAAAAAAAAAAUUAAAAGUCGUAAUUAAAAGUUUUUAUUUCUUUUGAAAUCGUCAUUUUUGAGUAGAAGUCAUAAGUUGUGUCAUAAUUUAAGUACAUAUAUUUUUAUUUUUAAUAAAAGUAGUGACUCACAUGGUUUUCUUUUAUUGUUUUUUUUUACUUUUUAAUAGAAUAGUGGACUCGAUCGCGAUUUUUAUAUAAGCUUUUUUAAUUUUUUUUAAUGGAAAUCGUGUUAUGGACCACGAUUUUAGUAGAUAAGGUUUAAUGUGAUUUAUACAAACUUUUUAAAUAUUACCAAUGCGAAAUUGAGCUCCCUAUAAUGACUUCAGAAAAAAAAUUAAAUUAAUACAAGAUUUAUGUAAAAACAUAUACAUUUCAGAGUUAUGUUUCUAACCAGGAUUUACUUAUUUUAAUAAAAACUAAAUAAAUUACUAAAAAAUAUCUUAAUGUACUUGUAUGAAUAAUGAUGAGUAAAGAUUAUAUAUGUGAUUUGAUAUAGAAUUGCUGACGUGUCGGUGAUUUUCAAAUGUCCUUAAGUCUCAUUCCUUCCGUGCUGAUGCUUAGCCGACCGGGAUGUACUUGCGAUUGCACUUUGACGCUAAAGUUAGUGCUAUGUUUAAAGUGUGUUCUAGUGGAAUGUGAAAAACAUACCUUACUCUUUCUUUUGAGAGCUUUAUUUACAGUAUUGCUUUGUGGCUUUUGACCUUUAUGGGCUGGAGAUCCGUUGUUAAUCGAUAUGUAGCGAGUCCUUAAUAUCAGGGAAGUGCACAUUCAGUUUAAUCUGUUUUAUCUAUUAUAUUGGUAAUUGUCGUUUGUUGUCGUCAUUUUGUUGUUAUUUCAUUCGGGUGGUCAGUCAUCAAUUUGGAGACUGGUUUGUCCGCUACCGACCAGUACAUUUGCCCCUAGGCUCGAAGAGCUUUAUUUCUAAAGAGUCAAAAAAUAACUGAUGGAGUUCUCGAGGCGAGAUGUGACUGUUGGAAGCAUUUAAUGCUUGACAGAGACGUGACGUGUGCUUUUUACAAAAAAGUAGUCGUUGGGAGUUGCACAGUUAAAUCAAAUGAAUCUAACAGUUGCGAUUUCGUGUCGGUUCAUAUUGAGGCCUAGGAACACGAUCAUGAUCAUGAACCACCCGACACUAAGCAAUCUCAUGGCCUAUCAUCUUAGGGUGAGAGCAAAAAUGAGAGAGUAAUUCAUAUUCCACACAACUACAAAAGUAUAGUGUGGACGUUCAACCCAAAGGUGAUCGGGUCUCGUGGGCCAUCAUCACUUAAGCAGGACGAGUUAACCUUUUAAAUUUGUCAACUCGAUUUUGGUACUUUGUUGGGUUUGUUUAUGAAGGAGGUGGUAGGUAGGAUGAGGGAGGUUGGAGGAGGAAGGUGGGAAGGAGGAAGGAGAGGGUGUUUGUUGUGUUUGUUUUAGUGAUUUUGUGAGUGAAGGAAAAAGUGAUAGUCUUUUUUCAUUUCUCACACAAAUGGAGAGAUUUGUGUUGAUUUCACGUAGAAUUUUUAUAUUUAACCUAAAUACCUAUGUACAUAUAUUUUAUUAUAAUAUACAAUAUAAAAAAUUAAAUAUUACAUAAAUUUAUUUAAUAAUUUCAAAAUUAUUUAAUUAUACUAUUAAUAACAACAUACAAUUAUAAAUAAUGAAAAAUAAAAAUAAAAAUAAAACUAUAAUAUCAACAAAAUUAUAUAUUUAUAUAAAAUAAAAAAUGUAUAUAAUAAUAAAUAUUAUUUUCAUAAAUUUUAAUAUAUUUAAUAAUUUUAUUUCAAUUUAACACAAAAAUAUUUUUUAAUAUAUUUUUUAAUUAAAAAUACAGUUAAUUAUGCAUAUUAUAUAUUAAAAACAUUUAAUUAAUUUAAACCUACACAAAAAAAUAUUCAUAAUUCAAUAUUCAAAUAUUUUUUAAUAAUAAAGAUAAAUUUGUAAAAUUACAUUUUAAAUCUUUCAAAUAAUUUAUAAAUUUCCUUCCAACUAUCAUAUCACUCUAUUAUCUCAUUUAUACAAAUUUUAAUUAACCAUUUAUACAAAUUCAUUCUAUUAUCCCUUAAUCCAUUUUGAGUUUAAAGUCAUGACUUUAAAGUUUUAGUGUUUAUUUAUAAAGAAAUUGUGGAAGUCAUUUGUGUCAUAAUUUUUGCACAUAGGUAUUUUAUUUUUAAUUUUUUAACUGAAGUCGUGGUAGAUUUUUUAUUGUUAUUAAUUUUUAAAUAGAAGUAGUGGGUUGGAUCACGAUUUUAGCAAAUGUUUAAUAGAAAUAGUGUGUUGGACAACUAUUAUUUUAGUAAAUAGGGUACUUUUAUGUUUUGCUUACCAAUUAUUUUUGUUGAAGCCAGCGCAGCGCGGGAGAGGGAGUGGAGAACGAGGGAGUACGCCGCCGGGGUUGUGUGAGUCCGACCGCGACGACGCCGGUGAGAUUGAGCGUCGAAGCGUGAGUCCUAUUUGUUAUUCGUUUUCUUUAUGAUCUAUUUGGUUUUUUAAAAUUGAUUUUCACUUUUUCCAAUUUUCUCGCUCUAGAUCGAUCACUUGUUUCGCCACCACGACAGGCCCUGAUCCACUUGUUCCUACUCCUGCCUUCCCACCAUCCACCUCAACAUCAUCCAAAUCGCCACUAUAUAUAUAUAUAUAUACGCAUGUUAUGUUAUAGUAAUAUAUUUUUUUUUGUCUGUUCUUGAUUAAAGUAUAUAUCUUUAUUAAAUUGGAUCAACUGUGGAAUGGACGUACAAUACAAUAUACAUAGAUGAUAGAAGAAAUGUGAUUUCCUUAUAAUUUGAUACAAAAUGCCGCAGGUUCAUUUUUUGGCAUGUUAUGAAUAUUUGCAGCAAAGGAAAAUGGAAGUGUUAAUUUUAGGAUAGAUUGUCAAAUACUGAUUCAUGUUGCCCCUUGGAUUUGGAAUAGUAGGGCCAUUCAUAAGAGGUUUGUUUCUAACAUGAGAACAGAGGGAAUUUGGGUUACUUAUUUAUUACCUGAAAUUCUUGUUGGAAGUGAAACGACAAAUUUUAAAGGUUAUUGCAUAUAUGUCCUAUUUGUUUAAACAAGGUAAUAAAAAUUAAUUCUGUGAUACUUUUGAUCUUUUGUAUAUACAUUUUUUUAGAAGCUAUUUAUUUUAGCUUCUGGAAAAAAAACUCUGAAGCACUUUUUGAGUCUCCCUGAAAAAGUUCGUGCUCAUCAUGGUCAAGCCUUUUGUUUUUUGCUGCAACUUCUCGAGACAAAUUUUCUACCCAGGUUCGGUUCUGUUUCUGUUUGCUGUUGAUUGUUGGUUCCAUCCCUUUAUUUCAGCCAAGACAUGUCCCAAUCAAAACUAGUGCAACAUAGCACCUCAGUCUCAACUUUCUUUUGUUAAUGAUUGUAGUUAUGGCUUCAAUGAUCAUUGUUUGUAGAUAAUUAAAGUGUUAGGAUGACAAGCCUUUAUUCUUUUUGAGCAUUUAUUGGUUUAUAAAAAUACAAAUUUUUUUCAUUGUCUUUAGUAUAGCUUCCAUCCUGGAAUCUGCUAAGACAUCAUAGUUUUGUUGGGGUUGGCCAUUUCCAUGAUGCUAACCAGGAUUUUAAAAUAUUUAUUUAAAUUAAAAGAGUGAGUGAAGAAUUCUAGAGAAUAUAGAAAAAAUAUAUCCUAAACUUGGAUGAUGCACAACUCAACCCUAGUACCUUGCACAGGUGAAUGAAAUCAGUAAAAUCCAUAAAAUCGUGCUUCGGCCAAUAAAUCAUUUAUGAGAAAAGAAGUAGUCUCUUGCCACACAAAAAAGAGGCAAUAAUAAACACUAGCAAACAUUUAUUUUAUUAAUAGACAUGUGACAGAACUAGAAUUGCUUUAGCAUCUCCAGACACUAAGUUUUGCAGUAAGAAAGUAUAUCCUAACUCUGUUUUAUGUAUCUUUAAGCAAAACCAACACGUAUCAUAGAAUUUUCACCCCUCCUUCCAAUUAAUCAAUAUUCUAUAUAUCUUUAAUCACUAUAAACUGGUUCACGUAAAAUGGCGUGCAAGCAUCAUUAUGAAGGAUGAACUCGUCUAAAGUGGUGUAUUUGACGUCAGGAUAUAGCAUUGAAGCUUCGACUCCAAAUGAAGGCUUGAUUUCAUAGUUAGUGUGAUCUCCCUUCACAUAUGCAGAGUGGCAAAUUGACACACCGAUGUCGAUGGGGAAUGAAGAUUCUACAAGAACAAGAAAUUGCAAUUAUCAGCACAAACACAUAUUUAGAAGCCCUUUGCGCAAUAAUUUCAAGCUAACCAAAGAACAUGAUUUUUGUGAAGUGAAAGAAGCAAGUUCACCAUACGUUUCUUUCAACUAAUAGGACACAUGUCGAACAUGCACUAUAAUUCACUUGACACUAACCUUCAAUAAUCUUCAAAACUUUCUCUUCUGGUACAUAGACUCUCUUGAGAAUUUCACUGUGAUGCUUCUCCCAGAGAGAUACAAGGUCAUUGUAUGACAAGGUGUUACCAGGUGGUCGGACAUAGAGAAUUUUGUUCAAGGUUCUUGGAUCAUCAACACUUCUAAUGGUGUAAGUGGCAACAUCCUCUUCCGAAUUAAGAACAACUGUAGACGAAACAAAAGUUGAUACGAAGAUUUGUGAUAUAUAAACUCUUAAUCCAAAUGAAAAUCAGGGUGCAAAAAAGACAAAACAAACCAGACAAAAAAAAAAUCAAAUCGUGUGAAAAGGUGAAUCAGACUCUUCGUAUAACAACAUGAAGUUGCGCAAAAUCAAACUGAACUUAACCAAAUCGUAAUUUGUAUAAAAACAUAAACUGCUCAUGCAUGCAAAAAAGUGUGUUUACGUACAUUUAGUGUUUCCAUCUCCAAGAAUAACAACAGUAUCAAGUGGUGAUGUUAUGCCAAAAAGAUCUGACCCAGUGGGUAGGAAGUGUCCAGCGAAAAAGUUGGCCACCACAUAGGUAUAAGGAAUUCCUUCAGCCUCAAUGGUUCGACGAAUUUGAACUUUAGUGUCAAAUAGCUUGUGUCCUUCGUCUACAGCAUGAGUUCGAUCCACAUCAUUUCCAAACUCUGAAGGAAAGAACCUCUGCAAACAAAUAACUACAUCACAACAACUCCAACAUGUUUGUCACGAAGAAAUACAACCACAAUACUUUCUUCCAAUCAUAUGGUAACAUUGAACUCCAAUCACAAAGUUAUAAGCAUCAUCAUGGUUUGCAUGAAAGUGCAUAUUUUGGUGCAAACAUGGAGAAAAACAAGAACAGUAAAUUUGGAGGUACCUUAACAUUUCCGGCUUCCUUAAUAGCAGAAAUGAUCUUAUAUUGAACAUCUAACUGCGUGUGACUCACAAUAGAUAUUACCACAUCCACCUUCUUUAUCGCCUCAACCAAACUCUGAUGAUCACGUACAUCUCCCUGUGUAUACAUCAAACCCACAAUUAAACUAAGUACUUUGCAUAAAAAAAAUAGGAGAAAAAACCUGAUGCAAUAAUCUUGAACAAAAACAGAAGAAGAAAAUAGAUAAAGAUUGAGCAUGUAACAAAUUGUUACGUACCAAAAGGAGGUUGAUACCCAAGGUGUUGAAUGUUUGAAUGAUGGAUGAUUUUGAUGGAUCAGAAAGAGUGGACUCUCGCACCAGAGCAAAGGUGGGGUGACCAGCCUUAGCACUUGCUUCCACCAUGAACUUUCCCACAUACCCUGUUGCUCCAAUUAUCAGAAUCUUGCUAGUGCCCACCUUUUCCAUUGGAAAUAAACAAUGUUUCAACACACAAAGAUUAUGCAAGAUUAGAGAAGAAGGAAUAUAUAUCUUGCAACUUUAUUUGCUAUGAAGAAUGCGCAAAUGGAGUCAUUUAUAUAUACACUGUCUUGCUCCCUUACGUGUAUUGUUUCUGCAUUUAAAUAUACAAUAAUAUUUAUCUGCAAUUUGAUUGGAAAAAUGUUGUUUUGCCGACAUACUGAAAAAAUCACAACCUUUACCCAUAUCCUUAAUCAUUAAAAAUAUCUAAAUUUAGACAUUUAGACAUUUAAAGUCAGCCUUAUAACACCAACUAACACCAACUUACGUUAAAAUUUGUACUCACUUAUAUACUAUGAAAUAUUAUAAUAUCUAGUUGAUGUGAGACCUCUAACACAUCUUUCACGUCGAGAGUAAUAAUUCGUGCAUUGGUCAUUCGAUAACAGUUCGAUAACAAGUGGUUUGAUAAGUCCACUAAAUACUGAUUAUGAUAAAACUUUAUAAAGAAUUGAGAUAAAAUAAAGGAGAAAAAAAAAAGAAAAAAAAAUGAAAAAAAUAUGUUGUUUUAUCUCAAUUUUUUAUUUAUAAUAGAGAAUUAAGAUAUUAAUAUUAACUUUUUUCAUAAAACACUCUACUUGAUAUGGAAAUUACUUAUUUUUGAAAUAGUUAAGAUUAUUUUAAUAUUGAAUUUCAUACAGUUGCAUAUUAUUUAUUAUUUAUUUUAUUUUUAUGACAACAAAUUAAAUAGAAUGCUUAAAGAACACCACUUAAAUGCAUUUGUUACUUAUGAAUCAAUAUUCAUAUCCAUAUCAAAAUUAUGAUGAGAAAAAGUAGAAAAAUCUCAUUUUCUCAAUGUCCAGUCAAAAUAGUGUACGUUUUUAAAUAGUAAUUGAAGAUGUCCAUGUCUUUGCUAUGAAUCUUCAAUUGAAUUUAUUUUUGGUUGAAUUUUUGACAUUAGAGUAUGAACAAUGUUAAAAACUAGUGUUUUGAUUUAAGAUAUAUGUUAUUUUUUAAAACCCAUCAAAACAUCUUAUUAUUUUCUCUAAUAUCACUCAUUGUAUCUAUCUAUAUUUUUGUCAUUUUUUCACUGGAUGAUGAAUAAAAUUUGGAGUUCUAAAAAACACUUUGAUGUUAAAAAUCUUCUAAUUUGAACGUAAGAAAUGCAUGGCAUAUAAGUUUGAAUUGUGCUGUGUCUAGAAUCUAAAUGUUCUACGUCCCAAAAGAGUACUAGUCUUAAACUUUGUUUUUCAACAUUUUCAAAUGCAUGAUGCAUUAUGUGAAAAUGGGAGUCAAAUAAACCAUUUUUUAGUUCGUAAUUAAAAUAAUUAUGAUCAUUUGCAUAUAUAUAUAUAUAUAUAUAUAUGUAUAUAUAUAUUGGUUUCAUGAGUGUUUUUUUCUGCUAAUUUUUUUUACUUUAAAAAAAAUAAAAUAUUUUUACUUAGAAAAUAAUGGAGGAAUUAAAAUCACGUUUUAACAAAUUAUUUUUGCGAUUAAGCAAACUUAUGUUAAUAUCAACUUGGAAUUAAAUAGUGAGAUACUGAAUUUGUGCACCAUAAUUAAAUGAUAAAGUAUUGCAUUGAUUCUAUUAGUUUGUUGGAGGGUGUGAGACAAAAUCUAAUUAAUACUUAAAGGGAUUUUUCACUAAAUCAGUGUAAUUAUUUUUGGACAUUAUACUUUUGGGUAUAAAUUUAUUUUAUUAUGGAAAUGCGGAAGUUGUGCACCACUUGUACAAAAUUUGUAGGGAAAGACGUAUUUUAUGUAUACAAUUUUGCGUCAAAAAGUGUUUACGUGGAAGUGGUAUAUCAUUAAUUUGAUUAUUUGUAAAAAAAGAGUUGUAUAAUACUUUAACAACUUUAUUAAAUAAAAAGUUAAUAUUUUAAGUGAAGUCGUAUAUAAUUUAUACGAUUUUAGUUGUAUUAUUUUAUACAUAAAAUCGUGUAAGUUACGUAUAAUUUUACUUAGUAUUUUUUUAAUAAAAUUUUAUAUUAUUAAAACCAAAAAUCAGAAUUAAUUAAUUAUCAAAAGAGGAGUAUUCUUUAAAACCAGAAUUGAUUUUCCUUGAUAUCUAACAUAAUGAAUGAAAGUAUCCUUAAAAAAGAAUAAGGUAUAUGAACAAUUCUUUGUAGAUAUUUCUACAAGAUGUUUUCUUUUUUCAUAGAAAAAAUUUGCUCAAAAAAAAGGCGAAAAUGUUUUAACUGUAACUGAGAGAAUUUGUUAGGAUAAGAUAGGAAAGGUUGGGAGAGUUUUAUGAAAGUGAAACUUUAAGUUUUGUUUUGUUUUUAAAGUAUAUUAUUUGUGAAGUUUGUUAUUUUUUUAUUUAUAUUAUGAUUUGUAUUGUUUGAAAUGAAGAAACAAACAAGAUUAAAUCUAUUGAAAUAAUAAUAAAAUAAUAUAGGGAAAUAAAAUUUAUUCAAAGAAAUCUAUUGAAUAAGGCAAGGAGGAGGGAGAAGUGUUUUGGAGUUAUUCAUUGACUUGAAAAUAUUAUGGGAAGAACUUGAAUCUUUACGGUCAAUUCCUCAAUGCGUAUGUAAGAUGUAUAUGUAAUCUGAUGAAAAUUGUUGUUAAGUAUACAGAUUCAGAAUACAUGAUUUGUUUCUUAAAGAGUUUAAAUUAUUCUUAUGUUACUCUAAAGACUCAUAUUAUCCUUUUAAAUCAUUUACCUACUAUUAACAGACAUUUUUUUUAUUGUUUUGCAACAAGACAAUUGAACGGGAAUACGAUAAUUGAAAGCAAGUUCAAAGAGAUACUUGAUACUAGAGCUAAAAAAUAUGUGUUUCUGGAUUAUGAAGUUGGUACAAAAGGAUAUGUUCUAUUUGAUGCUAAAGCCAGAUUCUUGUUUCCAGAAAUAUAAUUUUUUUUAACAUAUCUUUCCUACAAGGUGGAUAAAUCUAAUAAGGAAAAUGAUCAACAAUGUGAUUUUUAUUUUUAUUUUCUUUUUGAACUUGUUACUUAUAAUAAUGAAGAAAUUGUUCAACUUAGUGAACAAAAAUUUAGAAAACCAAGAUAAUCUUAGACGAUCAACUAGAGAUCAUAAAGUCUCUGUUUUCUUGCAAGAUUAUCAUUAUCAAUUCAUUGAUACAAGAUAUAUUAAUAUCAAUAAUGCCACUCAUUCUAUAUCGUCUAAUAUUAGUUAUGAAAAAUGGUCUCUUAAACAACUGCAUUACACAUUAAAUAUAUCUAUCAAUAAUGAGCCAUGAAGCUACAAUGAAGUUAUCCAGUAUCCUGAAUGGCAAGAAGUAAUAAGGAAGGAGAUUGAAACUAUUAAGCAAAUAGGACCUAGUACAUGACUAAUCUUCCUCAUGGAAAGAAAAGUAAUGAAGAAGUGGGACUUUUUCUUGCCUUGGUCGCCAUUCAAGACGGACAUCUACAACAAUUGAAUGUCAAUAAUGUUUUUCAUCAUGGUGAGUUAGAAGAAGAUGCUUAUAUGUUACCUCCUUUAGGUAUAGAAGUUCCUAAACCAGGACAUGUAUGCAAACUAACUAAAUCUUUAUAUAGUUUAAAAUAGNNNNNNNNNNNNNNNNNNNNNNNNNNNNNNNNNNNNNNNNNNNNNNNNNNNNNNNNNNNNNNNNNNNNNNNNNNNNNNNNNNNNNNNNNNNNNNNNNNNNNNNNNNNNNNNNNNNNNNNNNNNNNNNNNNNNNNNNNNNNNNNNNNNNNNNNNNNNNNNNNNNNNNNNNNNNNNNNNNNNNNNNNNNNNNNNNNNNNAAGAUUUAGGAAAACUUAAGUAUUUUCUCGGAUUUGAAAAUGCUCGAUCUAGUAAAGAAAUACAUAUUUUGCAAAGAAAAUAUACCCUGGGUGUUCUUGUUGACACAUGUUUGCUUGCGGACUGCAAUCUUCUAGAUACAUAGCUCAAAAUCCAAGUUUUCAUGAAAGAACAAAGCACAUAGAAAUAGAUUGUCACGUUGUUCGAUAAAAAAGUAUAUACUAUGAAAUGUUUUUAUGUAAGAUUCUAACAAAAAUAUAAAAUAACAAUAACCAAAACAACCAACCAACUCUCAUUUCUUUAUUUUAUUUUAUUAAAAAAAUAAACUUUAAAUAGGUCAUAGAUAACCUAUACGAUUUUAAUUUAAAAUUAUACAACUGAAAUCGUGUAUGUCAUUUACGAUUUUACUUAAAAUCCUUUUUUUCUCAUUUAAUCAAACAUGUAAAAUAUUUUUUUUUGUUAUGAAUUGAUCGUAUUAAUGAUGUAGGACACUUUUCUAACACAAAGUCGUAUUCAUGGAUUGCAACAUUUAUACUCCACUAUAAAGUAUCAACGGCACACUACUUUUCAAUCCUUCUAAUAAAAUUUUUCUACAAAAAGCAUAAUAUAAAAAGAAAAAUACACUCCUCUUCGGUGCAAAAACCAUGAUAACUUGCGCCACAAUUACUCAACAAGAUCUAGAAAAACAACUUUGAUGUCUUCGUCACGCACGACACUUUAUAAUAUGUGUAUUUUGUCAAAAGAAGUUUUUGUCAAACUAAGUUGCUGGAGCAAAUAAUGUUCUAUUUAGAACCACAAUUAUUUUCUUGUACAUGAGUUAAUUAAGUUAUCAGUUCUAUUUUACAAAAUUUUAUUUUUACUCGAAAAUUUCAUAAAUUAAACAUAGGGACUCAUCCUUUAUUUAAUAAAUAUUAUUAAUUGAAAUUUUAAGUUUGAUCCGAAAAAUAUGUUUUCCAAUUUUAAUUUUAAUUUCAUAUUUGAUAAUGAUUUAUAUUAUAGAACGUGACUUUUACUGUUAAUAUAUUAUUAUUUUAAUCCUGAAAAAUGGACUUGUGUCCACUCAUCAUCAUCUGCGUCAAAUUUGACAUUCAGAUAUUUUAGGAGAUAUUUUCGGAGUUUAGUCAAAAAGAAAAACAAGUUAUUCACUUGUACUCAACUAGAACUUUGACAAAAAAUUUUAAUAAGUAUCCAGAACUUGUUUGUCGAUCUCACUAUAAUAAAUUUAUUAAAUAAUAAUUAAAGUUAGAAAUAAAAUUAACUAAACUAAAUAUUAUUUUAUAAAUUAAAAAAAAUAUUUAUAUUUAAAGUGAUUUUUUGUGAUUAAUAAAAAUUAAUAAAAUUAUUUUUAAAUUAAUAUUUAAAUUAAUUAUCAAAAUUUUAACUAUUAAUAUUUUAUAUUUUAAAUUAGUCUUUGAUUAAUAGAUAAAAAAGUCCAAACAAAAAACAAACGCAAAAAACUUGAUCAUUUAUAAAAUAUAUAUUUAUGAAGUGUAGAAGAAAAUUAUGGGGUGGAAAGAGAAACCCCGGUCACACUUCAACCUAUAAAAUUGAGCCCAGAGUUACUCAAGUUUUAAGAGGAUUUAUUUUUCCACUUGCACCCCUAUACCUUUUCCCAACACUUCAUACCUUUCUCCAACACCUCAUUCCUUUUUUUUAUCAGCAUUUUACAGUGUUCUUUAACGGUUUCUUCAGAUGUUUUUAUUCUCAAGUAACUUGAAAAAAUAUAUUUUUGAACAAAUCCUACCAAUCCCUAAUAAAAUAUUAACCACCAUUCUAUCCUAUGUUCUAUGGUAAUAUAACUAGAGAUGGUAAAUUGAGUGAAUAAUUUUAAUUCACCAGUUAAUGAAUUUUUAAAAAUAUUAAAAUAUAAAUAAAAAAUAAUUCAAAAUAUUAAUUUUAUAUAUUAUAUUAAAUAGUUAAAAUGAUAGAAAUAUAUAAUAUUAUUGUAACUUAGAUUAUUAAUAUUCAAUUUAGCCCAUUCUAUUUUCGCGUCAAGAGUGGGUUGGGCUAACAAGUUAAGAAUAAGUCGAACAGCCCAACCCAUUUUAUCACAUGUAAGUAUUCUAGAAUUUUUUUUCUUUUUGAACGAAAUUUUUUAUUAUGGAUUUUUCUUUCCAUAAUUGAAUUUUGAGUUUUUAAUUUUAUUUCGAAUUUUUUAUUUUUUAAAUAUAAUAAUCUCUUCCGAAUUCAUUUUUCUGAAAUGUAUUAUUUCCAAUUUUAGAUUUUCAUUUUCAGAAUAAAGAAUAUUUUCAUAAAUUUCAAAUUAUGUAGUGAGCAGGUCCAAGAAAAUUGGGUGUAGGAAGAAUUUGCCAUAAUAAAUCAUCUUGACCAUUAAAUCAUGUCAAAAUAGCUAAAACCUCCCCCAAAAAAAGUCCGCAACAUUUUAUUUCUUAAAAAUAAAGUAUUUAAUCUAUAUCUUUACACUUCAUCUCAAUCAAUCUUUAUAUUUGUACGAAAAGUUGACAAAAAAAUUCAGUAUUCAAUAAAAGACGAAAGAUAAUUUGAUAAAAGUAAAAAUUUUAUAAUCUGUAAAUACACCGAUCAUAUGAUAAAAUAUUGAAAUACUAUUCAUAUUUUUUUUAUAAUAAUUCAAGAAUAAAUCACAUUCUCUAUAUUCUUAUUAAAGUGGAAAUGGUAUCCAUUUUCCGCAUUAAAAUAUUAUAUUUUGUCCAACCAUUUCACUAGUGUGAGUAUUCUUUUAAGUAGAUUUAUUACUACUAAUAUUAUUACUAUUAGUAUUUUUAUUAAUAUUAUAUAUUAUUACUGUUUGGUUUAGUUUAGCAUAAAGAGAGGGUAAAAAAGCAGUGGCAGGUUGCCAUCAACCCUAAUGUAUAAUGGAUUAGGUAGCCAGUCACACAUGUGACAUUAAUAUGAUCUUAUUAUUUAUUCUACCAAGUAGUAUACAACAAAUAUAUGUUAUGUACUUAAAAAAAAUCUCCAUAAACCCUUUUGGAGAGAGCAAUUCCAACAAAUCAAAAUGGAUGAUCUGGUUUACAUCUCCAUCUUCGGAUUGCUACUUUCAACUGCACCUGCACAUGUAUAAAACCAUAUUUACAAUCAAUCAUGAAUCUCAAAAAAACAAUUAACUUCACCAAACAUAAUUCACUUGCAAUCUCAUAACUAAAUUUUUUUUUGUCUUGUAUCAAAACAACUUGUUAUAUACAUGGCAAUUAGCAUUGAUCUUUUUAAUGUUAUUGAGCAAGCUGCAAACACCUUUGCCACCACUUUUUAGGUAUAUGAAAGUGGUGGGAAAGUGAUGUAAGAAGCAAAUAAAAGUGACAACUGGCUUGAUGGCUAAAUGAUUAAAAAAAAUCAUUUUAAUUAAAAAAACUUAUCAAUAUUUUUUAUUAAAGAUUUUAUAUAACUAAAAAUUAAAAUAUUUCAUAAUAUAUAAAUAGAUACAAGUCAUAAAUUUGUAGGUACCUGUAAAUGGUUGAGAAGGAAAGGAUGUUGCUCGCCCUUGAUCAAAAGCAACAUUGUAAAGGCUUUGAAAAUCACCUUCCCAAUUUGAAGAGGGUAGAAUUUGCUGCAGUGCACGUAGUUAUUAGACAUUAGAAGAGUAAUGAUUAGAACAAGAAGAACAUUACAAAUUGCAUACACAAAAGGGAAACAUACGGUGAAACAGGAGGAGUCAAGAAACGCUUCGGACAAAGGUACAUGUGUAGUACUAAUGUUCCUUCGAAGUCCCAUAUUGGGAGGGCUUAUCCCCACGUUAUUUAUUAAUCCACCACAACAUGAUCCAUGUGGUUGUGUUGGAUUCAACUGAAGAUACGAAGGGUUGUUGCACAUUCUCAUAUCUGAUGCCAUCCCAAUGUUGGGUAAACCUUGAGAUAAAGAAGGAAACACCUGUGGCAAUCAAACAUAAACAGUUAUGUCAUCAACAUAAUUUCUUAUGCAAGUUCUAAAUUCUUAUGUUUUUAACAUAAUCCUAGGUUUUAAAAUAAAGUCUCCCACACCAUUAGUAUCUGUAGUGUUUUGUGAUUAUUUGUAAUUUUGAGUAUAUCAAAACAUGUCAAGAAGCUGUGUGUUGAAUCCAACUGAUAGAAAAGGAGAAAAAUGUUGAGUUAUAUACCUCUCUGGCAAAUAGUUCGUCAAUGCUUGGAUUUACAGCCGCUAAUUUCAUUGACAAGAACUGCAUGGAGUUAUAAACAUUGUCAAAUAAGUCACGCGCUAUAAAAUUCAACACAUUCCACUAUCAGUUAAUGGUUGGAUUGUAUAAAAAAAAAAUCUUUUGUUUUUUAAAUAUGGAUCAAAUUCAAAUCGACUUACUUAAUAUCAAUAAUAUUUAAAGGGUUGAAAUGAUUCAUUUAUUUGUUCGUCAACAUAUUUUAAUUUUAAUUUUUACUUAAUAUUUUUUACAAUAACAAUGUUUGAUAAAAUAGCUGAACAUUUUACUGCUAAAUUUAAAUCUCAUACUAAGAUAGAUUAUUAUGAAACGUGUAGAGCCUAAUUAAUUUCACAGGGACCAAUGUCAAAGGUUGGACCAACAAACUCUAACCUCAACUUGUCGUUGAAGAGACUGAACAUAGUUAAUGAUUUCAUCAAGCAUUCCAGCUUUGCCGGCAAUUUUGUUGCAACCCGGAACCAAAUCUUGCAAAUACUUCAUUCUCUCACUAAUUUUCUCCCUUCUAACCUGCACCAAACAGAACAAAACUCUCAGCAUUAAACAAACACAACUAGAAUCAAAACGCAUCGUUUAAUAUGCUAGUUUUUUUUUCACUCACUCUUUCAGCUAAGCUAUGACUAUCAGUGGCUUGACCACGACGCGCUCGGACAUGAAUGUACUCGCGCUUCUGGUUCUGAACCUCGGACGCUUUCGAAUCAUCCUUGGAAGAAUCCGCAGAGGUUUCUCUGUUGUUCUUAACUGCGUUGGAUUUGCCAUUUCUGUUGCUGCUCUGGUGCGUCACUCUGGAUUCUCCUUCCUCGCCACUCACUUUCACUCUCUUGUCCUUGUUAUCACUCUCCGCAGCAAUCUAAACAAAAUCAGAAAAAAAAAAAAAACGAAACGUCACGAUUGCCUUACCAUAGUCCACACCACACCGAAUCAUAACCUCUAUCAGCAUUCGCAAGUACCUUGAAGUUCUGCGCCUUCCUCUUCUUGUUGCUUUCCUUGGGUAAAAUAACGGAAGAAGAUCCGAAUCCAGAGUCGAGUUCGGGGCAGAGAGCCGGGUCGGGUUUGAGAGAAUGAGCCAAGACCUGAGCAAGCGCGGAAUCGUCACGCGCCAUGAGCGAGCCCUGACUCUGAGGAAGAUUGUUGGGAGAAGAAGAGAAAACGAGGUUAACGUGAAACUCCGUUGCGGAAAAGUAAGGGUGGUGAUUGUCGUGAUGGUGGUGUUGCCACUUGAUGGUUGCUUCCCUUUGUCUUUCCAAAACUGUCAUGUCCGAACAACUGGCUCCUAGAUUCCCCGAACCGUUCAGACAAUGCAACAUGUUGAGGUUGUUAUGGUUAUUCGUUAUUCCUAAGGAUUAGGCACCGCUACGUUGCCGAAAGUACGCGCCACGCGGUGUGUGUGGAAAACAAAAAGAAAAAACCACGUAGGGUCACGGGGAAGUUGAGAACACAGUGUGGGAGAAACACUGGAACACUGUUAAGGAUGUGCAGAGAUAGAGUGGGUAAGAUAUAAAGGGAGGGAAAUUCAUUUCUUUUUUUAUUUCCUUUUUUUAAUUAUUAGUAUAAUUAAUAAAAGGAAAUAAAAAAAUAUGGCCGGAAUAAUUAAGAUAGAGAGAGUGGGACAUAAGGUGUAUUGAUGUAACCAUAACCGAGGCUGUGCCUUGGGGCCCACUGAUAUGACCGCCACGUGGGCGUGUCCAACUCUUCCAAACGGCAGUGUUUCGCACUGGCACCUUAAAACAAAGCUGCGAUUAAUUUGUUUAAUGGAAUUAAGACUCUAACUCAAUCCAGUUUUGGUUAAACCUAGUUUAUGAAUUUUAAUUAUAGUCUUUCCAAAAAAAGUUGGAUUUUAUUUUUAUAAAAAAUGUAAACAAACAAUAAGCCUGUGUUUGUAUGGAGAAAAAGCUUAUGUAAUGAGAUAAAAAGGGAUGAAUUUGGUGUGUCUUAUGUGUAAAUUACCCUUUUUUUUAAUAUAGAAAACCUAUUAUGAAUAGUGUUUGAGUAACUAGAAACAAGUUAAAAGUGCUUACAUAAUUAAUUAUAUAGUCAAAUAUGAUGCAUAGUGGAUUAUCACCGUAUCAUAAUGAAUUAUGCAACCACACAUGUCCGAUCAAAUAAUCAUUACUGUAUAGUUUUUCUUAAUCAAGCACAUGAUUCAAGUUUUUCAUUCACUCUGCUUUACUCCAACUAAAAAAUCUUUCCAUUUUGUUUUACUUAUUUGUUUUCACUCUCUUUUAGUUUUUUUCCUGCUAAGUGAGAAGAGUGGAGGAAGUUUUGCAGCAUCAGCUUAAGAUUCUCUUCUAAAAAGGAUCAAAGUCUUCUCCUCGUCCUCUUCUAGAUGUAGCAAUCCCUUUCUUCUUUCAACUAAUCAACUUUGUAAUUAACACAAUUAUACAAUUUCUUUCUAAUCUCUUAUUCCUCAAACAAAAAAGUACUUGCAGUGUUUGUAUAUAUUGUCAAAGAAUGUAUUGAUAUGCCCACAGUCCACCAAUCAAUAUAUUUCAUUUGCAUCUCGCCUCAAACAUACAAUUAAAAUGAAUAAACACAAUUAUGUGUUUUCAUCUUAGUUAAAUUGGAUAAGAAUGCACCUAGAAUAAAAAAUUUGCAACAGAUGGGAAAGUUCCAGCAUAUACCGAUGUUGAAUUAUGGAUACAGGUCUAUUCCAACCGGUUACUUAUGUUUGAUAAAGAAAACAUAUAUAAUCUAAAAAUAUUUGAGGUUCCACUUUAAGGAAAGGGAUUGAUGGGUGAAGAAGAAUAGUGUGUCUGCAUAAUUGACCUCAUAAUUAGCUGCUAAACAUGGGAGAUUUUUUUGUUUUAGUGAGCUGUGAUGGGUGUUUAGUUAUUGUAAUGAGACAAAUUAAGCAGGAGAUGACGGAUUGUGGUAUAAUGUUAAUGAUAGGUGAAUUGUUGGUAAAAGAUAUGAAGUAUGAUGAGGAGAAGGGUUAGCAAGAGUGUGAUUUGGAAGCAGGAAAUGAUGGUUUGGUUGGAAAUUUAUGGUGCGAUUUGAAGCUUGAAGCAAUAGCGGAAGGUAAAGGUGAGGAAAUAUAAUUUGAGAUUGGUAGGAACAAGUCCAGAGAGGAUGAAGGCAACUUCCAUUAUCACCAAAUGGGGCCUCUCUUCAAAUCUCUCUAACUUUAUUUUUGGUUCAUGUCUCUUUCAACUCUAUCUUCCACCCUCUUCACUCUCUCUCUCUCUAGGUCCCCUCUUCCUAUGUAGCAGUUGGAUACAUACACUUCAAAAUUACCCAAUACCACAGCUAAAGGCAAAUGGGUCCUCCUUUCUCAAUCUCAUUUCCUCUAUCAUAUCACUUUUUUUGUGGUACACAUCAACACAAAACUCUGUCCCCUCUUCUCUUUGUUUUUCUAGUCACUCUUGCUUUUUAGUUCCUCAACUGCUUUCCAUCCUAUAUUCUCUUUGACUAACUCUCCCCAUACACUGCAUUUAUCAUCAACCAUCUUCUACCUUACACUAUCUAUAAACAAUACCCUCUACUCUUGUUAUUGUUAACUAACUCAGAUAGUAACAGAUUAUUGGUUUUACUCAUAACUCUGAUACUAAUUUGUGAAUAGAGAAUCUAUUUUAUUUCACUGUUCCUUCUACCAUCCUUUAAAUAGUCUUACAAUAAACAGAUAUUAUGACAAGCACAUAGUUUAAACUGUUUUUGUUUUGUCACAGUUCAUUGGAAUUCUGUGUCACCAACUGUGUUGUGCAAAUGAUGAAAAUAUCACUGCCUUAACUUGUGUUUCAUGCAACAAAGUAAUAAUACCAGGAAAGAUCGAGGAGCAUUCAGUUGCUUUUGUACUCAUUUCUUUUUCUGCUGUGAAUCUAUAAAUAUCACUAUAUUUUGACUAAUUUAGCAUUCAUAAAAUGUCCCUGCUGGCACCUGCUACUAAAUUGGAAAAAUAAUUGGAAAGGGUUCUUAUCUUAUCCAACUGAUAUGUGUUGAAGAUAAUAAUUGGGGAAGGGAGAUGGCAUAUGAGGAAGCAUUCAAAGAGAGCAGCAGAUCCGAUGUAUAGGGAAUCAUAGUUCUUUCUCCUGGUCCCUCCUCCUUAUUAAUUUAUUUUAUUAUUAUGGUGUCAUAAUUUGGAUCUGAAUGAACUUCUAAAGCUCUACAUUUCAGAUUGAGAAGAUCUGUAAUGUCAUAAGUAGGAUUUGAUACAAUUGGAUAUGAUGUUAAUAUGAUAAGAGUCUUUCUAUAAUCUUAAAUAAAUUAAGUAUUCUUUCGAUCCUAUGAAUAUAUACGAUAGUAUCACAUUAUUUAAAAGUCGAGAUAGUAUCACAUUAUUUAAAAGUCGAGAUCAAUAGUAGUUUAUAUACUAUCACUACAAGAAAAUCAUGAAAUAGAAAUCAAUUUUUAGAAACCAAAAUAAUUAGUUGCAAUAGUAACUAAAUUAGAGACCAUUUUAGAAACUAAAAAGAAUUUUGGUUUCUAAAUUAGUUUCUAUUAUUGUUAAAUAGUUUCUAAAUUAGUACCUACUUAACAACCAAGGUUUUAGAGACCAAAUUUAGAAACUAAAUAAUUGGUAGUUAAAACCUUGGUCGCUAAUUAGAUAUCAAUUUAGAAACUAUUUAACAAUAAUAGAAACUAAUUUAAAAACCAAUUUUUUUUUAGUUUCUAAAAUGGUUUUCAAUUUAGUUACUAUUGCAACUAAUUAUUUUGGUAUCUAAAAAUUGGUUUCUAUUUCAUUAUUUUCUUGUACUGUAUUUCUUACUCCAAUCCUAUCAAUUAACACUUUUUAAGAAUAAAUUAUAAUGGAGUACUCACUUUUAAAAUCGAUAAUACCUUAAAUGUGAUGAUUGAUUUUUUAUCAUAAAAAAAAAUUAUGAAUUAACAAAAAAUAUAACAUAAACUUGAUUAUAAAUCCUGUAUUUUUGGCUUUAUAAUAAUUAUUAAUCUUAUUUAAUACAUUUUUUCAAUAUGUUUUUUAUUUAUAUUUUCAGAAAGUAUUACUAAAAAUAUAGUAUAAGAUUACUCUUGAAUAUAAAUAUAGGCCAAAAAGUAAGAGAGAGGUUGGGUUUUUGAGAGUAUGUAUGUUGCUAUGCAUUGAUCCAUUUUACAAUCUUAAAAUGAUGAUCUUACAGAUGGAUGCUAUGGGCUUCCUUCUCUUAUUUAAUGCUCAACUCCUUUGCCAAACAAUCCCUCUCUACUCAUUCAACUAGACUUGGUCUUGCUUUUUAUCAUCAUAUCUAAAAAUGAUACCAACCAUAUAAUUCUAUAUUUUUAAAAGGAAAGUUAUAUAUGGGUGUAAUAUUUUCUAGUUAUUAUCAUGUUCAUUGAUUUAGUUUAUUUAAUCCAGAAUACAAUACAAAUAAUCAAUUCUACAAGUUAAAUAAUUAUGAGUAAAUAAAUUAUUAAAUAUAUAACAUGCAAUAAAUUUAUGGACAAAAUGAAGUAAAAAGAAUAAUGUACCUUCCAAGAUUAGGGAGUUGUUGCCUCCGCUUUAUUGAGUUAAUUUCUUUCACAAUAUAAUACAAAAUUUUACUCCAAGAGUUAAAUAAAUUGAAAACUUUUCACAUAAACAAAAUAAAUGCAAAAUUCUACUAGUUAAAGUUUUUUAGUAAAUACUUUAUAAAUUAAUUCAAGUAAGAAUUAUAUAGAUAAGAUGAAGAAGAAAAAAAGAUAAAGUAUUUUUAAAGAUUUAAUGGUUAUUGUCACAUUCCUUUAUUUACUUUAUUUCUUCUUCAUGAGAAUGAGAAAGAAUGUUCAAGAAGUUAAAUAAAUUGAAGAUUCUUUCAAGUAACAAAAUAAAUAAAUAAAAAUUUUAGGUUAAAGAAUUAUGAGUAAAAAAAUUAUUUCAAGUAACAAAUUUAUAAAAAAGAAUAAUGUUAGUGUCUUACUCCAUGAAACAAAAGAAUGCUCCAAAAGUACACUAAAUUGUGUUUUUUUUAACAACAUAACAGAAUUAUUAACAAUAAAUACUGAUGAGAAUUUUUUCAAAGCAACAGAAUUAUAUGAAAAAAAAAACAAAAACUCUAAACGUUACAAAUUUAUGAAAAGAUAAUUUAUAAACUAAUUCAAGUAAAAUUUUUAUAGAAAUAAAAUAGAAAAAUAUAUCACACCUUUAAUGAAUUUAAAUCUAUUGCGACUUAUCUCGUGUUAGUUCAUUUGUUCCAUGAUACUAUGCACACAAAAAUAUUUAAAGUAACAAACAAAAUUUGAAAAGAAAUACAAAAUUGUGUGAAAUAUAAAAUCGUUAGUAAAUAAAUUAUAAAUCAUUCAAUUAAUAAAUAUAAAUUUUUUUAUAAAAGAUAACAUACCUUAAAGAUUUCCUAACUAAUACCCUUUUUCUUAAGUUAGUGAUUUGCUGCACAACAAUGUACUCUAAAAAAUAAAUAAAUAAAAAGUAUUUUCGAAAGUAACAAACCUUAAACAAAUACAAAAUCUACAAGUUACAUAAUUAUGAGUAAAUAAGUUAUAAAUUAUUUUAAGUAAUUCAUUUGUAAAUAAAAUUAACAAAUUUUCAAGAAACAAAUUUAUUAAAUUUAGGUCUCAUUGACUGACCUAGAUUAAAAUUAGUUAAAUAUCAAAAUAAUGUUUGAAUGAAGAAUAGUCUUGUUAAUAUAAUAUGGUAUAAUUAUCUCAAAUAUAUAAUGAAGAGUUUAUAUAUAUAUAUAUAUAUAUAUAUAUAUAUUAAUGGUAUUAUUGACAUAUCUCAAAUAUAUAAUAAAAAAAAUUGAUAUUUUAAUAUUUGGAUAAUUAUUUUAAAAUUCUGAGGCGUGUUUGCUUGGAACCAUUAUAUUCUAUUAUAUUCUCCAUCUUUUUCCUUUGGACUCAUUACACAUGGAAUAUAUAAAAAAUAAACAAUGUCCAACAAUUCAAAAACCAUAGCAUAGUUGCUGCCAACUGUGAGUAAAUUUUAUCAUUAUAAACCUUACCACUUUUGCAUUUCAUAAUCCCAUAAUGAUUAAUACAAAUGUGAAAAACUAUGUUGCAUGCAUCAUUUAAUAAUGUGAUUAUGAUCCUUAAACUUGUCCAAUGAAGAAGCAAGAGUAAUAUCAACAUCUCACACAAAAGGACAAUGGACUUUCAUGUGACUUUUUCACUAUUGAAAAUUGGAAUUUUGAUGUCAAGUUGUUUUAUAGCACAGCACAUUUCAUUGGCCAAGGCUUGUAAACACCAAGAAAAUAUCAUAUGUCUUCAACCAUGUUAGCUUAUACAUAAUACUUUUCAUUAUUAAGCCUCUAAAAACAACCUUGUAACUAAUUUAGAAUCUAAAUAAUUGAUAGCAAAAAUUUUGAUAAUUAAUUAGAUACUAAUUUAAAAAUCAUUUAACGAUAAUAUAAACUAAUUUAGAAACAAAAAUUUUUUUAAUUUCUAAAAUGGUCUCUAAUUUAGUCAUAACUAAUUAUUUUUUUAUCUCUAAAUCUGGUUUCUAUUUUCUUGUAGUGAGCAUCCCAAAAACUAUGAAAGAACACAAUGAUAGUUUGAUAUUUGAACUAUCUAAGAAGAUGCAUACGAGGGUGUAUAAAGAAAUGGCCCAGAUGAAGUUAAGGUGAAAGCCCAUUUUUAUAGGUUUGGAAAUUGUGUCUGGCCCACUAAAACAAGAACAAGCUACAACAAAGAUCCUUUCCAUGAAUGAGUAAGUGUACUUCCACACAGGAAACAAAACAUUGAAUCCAUGAAACUCUGUCUUCCAUUAUUGUUCUAUUAAAAUUGACUUUUUGAUAAUACUCUUCCAAGAUCCACCAGUUCAAGACAACACAGGGUAAUAUUCUUUGAAUCCCAUGUCAUUGAAAUUCAGUUUUUCAACUCUUCAUUCAACAUUUUCUCUCUCAAUAUCUUAAAGAAAAGUGAUGUUUAAGACAUUAAAUUAACACUGAUUAAGAUUUGUAUUGAGGUUUGUAGGUAGCAUAUGUUGAUUCUAACAUUAAAAAAAGGAAAAGAAUGUUAGGUUUGUAGUGUAGAAGCAGUCUCUGCCCCUUGCAUUGAAGUGUCAACACCUAUGGUUGCACCCAGAUCAAGUGGCAUGACUGAACUUUCAUGUCUCAACCCUCGCAUCUUGUGGAAAAGCACCAUAUCUCGAGGAAUCAAUAAUACAUUAUCAAACCUUCACACCUUUUUAUAGCUUUUUAUUUCAGACUCACCUUCUUCCUCUUUUUGCAUGCUACAUUACCCAACUUUUGCAUACAAAAACAAUUUUAACCUAUGAGGCAAGAGCUAUGUGAACUAAUAUCAUUCUAAUUGGUUGGUUCCCAAAUUUGAAACCUUUAUCUACUUAUCACCAUUUCGCCCUCAAGGUAUAAAGAACACCGUCUCUGCUUUGCAAUUGCUCUAUCUCUUUAAGAUUCUCUGAAAUUAUGAAGAGAUUUGAGGGACCAGUGUGAGUGGUAGAUUACCAAGUUCCUCUUGUGCCAUUAAAUACCCCCAUUGUCUUGGACCUUGGUUUUGGUGAGCAAAGUCAUCAUUCACUUAACUUAACCUAUACCUCUUAUAUUGACAACUUGUUCCAGUAUACAAUUUGUGAUUCAUGAUAUAAAGAAAGGAUAUUUUCGUCACUUUAUAUAAAAAAUUUAAAUUUUAGAAAAAAAAAUAGAGUUGUAAACUGGUACAAGUUGUCCAUAUAUCACUUCUUUAACUUAUAUAUUUUAAAAGAAAAUGUUAUUUUUACAAUUACAGAGUAAUCAACUUUUCAAAAUUUAUUUAUUUAUUCACAUGUUUUCACAUUUUACGAGAAAAAUUAUAAAUAAAAUAUAUUGAUAGCUCACAUUUUUUAUACGUUACAAUCUCAAUAUUAUUAUUUUAAUAUUUUUUAUAUUAUUUAAUUAUAAAUUUACUCUUUAUUAUAUAUAUUUAUAUCUAAAUUUAUCAGAGUUGAUUUAAAAUAUCAUUUGUCAUAAAUUAAUUCUAGUACUAAUUUUACUAGAUAUAAUAUAUAAUAAUUUAUUAUUGAAUUGUCAAUAUAUCAGUGCUCUUCUAUAAAUUAGAGUUUCGCAGAACAAUUUAUUGUUGAGUUAUCAACCUAUCAUGACUUUUCUACUAAUUUUGCAGAGGACCACUCAAUUAGUAUAUACUUCCAUUAAAGGGAAUAACUAAUGGUUCAUGGUUCAUGCAUAUAACUUUUCCGAGGUUUAUGUCACAAAAAGUGCUUUCUGGGUGGCUAUGACUAGAGGAUUUAGAGAACACCAAAACAAAGAAAAGGUUAGUGAAUUAGCCUUUUUGACUCCUUCAUAAGAAAAGAUUAUGGCUGCUAUCUUUGGAUAAAAGCUGGAACUUUUUUGUUGUCAAUGUUAAUUUACAAAUUCUAAUGCACCAAAGGAAAAAAAAAACUAUCUUAACAGUUAAAAAGUGCUUAUGAGUUCCUUUAAGUGAAAUCUGAACAUGCCCUGAAUUAACAAACUCUGUAAACUUGUGUUUAGAUGAGUUUUAAAAAGGAAGAAGCUGUAACAAGCAUGCAUGUUGAGAACAAAAUAGACCAAGCCAAAAAUACUUGAAGGCAAAAACACAGAGCUGAUGAGUGAGCUCCAUGUGUUAUGAAAGCUACUAUACAUGACUUAGUCCAUUGAAUUUGAAUGCAUCAUAAUCUAUUGCCAUGCAUGCUUGCUUAAUAACUUUAACUUUUAAUUGUAUAUAAUAUAUUAAAAUUAAAAUACGUCCCACCUCUGUACAAUAUUCUUCUGAGCAUUUUUUGUUUGAGAACAUUCAUUGUGUUUUUGUUAUCUCUUGCUUUUGCUACUGUUUUUCCUUGCCAUUUUAAAAUACAUAACUUUCUCUGACUUCAUAUUUCAAAGAAGCAAUCUUUUAUUGAUUUAAAAAAUGGGAAUUCAAUUGAUUUUUAUCAUCCAAGUAAAAUUAAAAAAUGAAAUUACUUUCUUAUUAGAAAAAAAAUCACAACUAUUCUGCACAGUCUAGUUUAAUACUAGAUGUUGUGUUAUAUCAUGAAACCGGAAGUUCGAAUUUUCGGUCACCCAACUCUUAUAUAAAACAAGAUUAGAUAUACAUUGAAUUUGUCUUAAUCAUUCUCAUAUGAUAAGACUCAAUAGAACAAUAUACAUAAGGUCCACCUCACAUCCUAAGUUAAGAGCAUUAUUCUCAAUUAGGAAUUAUAAAGCAAGAUUAAACGGACAUUGAGAUUGUCUUAAUCAUUGUGACAGUAUAAGGUCCACUAGAACAAUAUAAAUAAGAGAGAAUCUUACAGGGAAAAGAUAAUGUUAUUUUGAAUUCUGAACUAGACUAUCAAAAUUGACAUCUUCUAACUUGAACGUCUGAAUAUUUUUACAGGUAACCAUCCACUCGGACAUCCAAGGAAAGUAGACAGAAUUGAAGAGAAGACAGGAACCAUUCGAUAGGAAUACUCAAUCUUGGAUAAAUUAUAAGAACACUGUGUAGAUGAAUUUGUGUCCUGAAGCAACCCAGAAAGUUAAACAGGUAGCAGAGACAUGCAUGAAUAUAACCUUUCAUAUUACUACAUUGAGUACAUGAUUAAUGUGGAGGUUAUGCGUUUUGCAGAAUGUGGUUUAGUUUAUGAAGAAAAAUUGAAGAAAAAGAAAGUGGAAGAGGGUAGAGAUAGGUAGGAGCUUAUCCUUGUGUAUGGAGUGAUGAAAACGGUACUUCACUGUUCCACCAAUCAGACGAAACACGAUCCUUCAAAUGCCCAACCAGAGAAAAGAUAUAUGAAAACAGUAGGACCUGUUUGAAAUGCUACAAAAACAUGCAGAAAAAAACAAUGUGGUAUGGUGAUAUCGUCGUACGGGUUCCAGGUAGGCAACUACAACCUUUUGGAAUGUUGCUCUGAGCAAAGGUUGGGAAAACCCAACUCUGAAUACCUCACAAACUGAAUACAAUAAAAUAUUUUUUGGUGAGACACAGAAAAUUUAACUCUUUCUCCCUCUUGCCAGAUUCUUCUCAGUCUUACAGAUUACGUCAGUGAUAAGUGAUGACCACUACUUUUUUAGAUACCUGUGAACACUUAUCUCUAACGCCAAAAAUUUGAGUCUAACUUGGAUGGAAUACCAAAAACCCCAUCAAGAAAAGAGCCUCAUCAUCCAAUAGACUUUCUUCAUGCACACUACUGACAUGAAUUACCAAGUUCAAAUUAAACUAUUGCUGCAACCUUGUCUUACUUCAUGUCAUGCAUUUGGGAGGGUGAGCAACUCAUAGUUGAGUGUUAAGCUAAGAUAAACUAUGUCAUUUCCAACAUUUUAAGGUUGUGUUUGAUGUCACUGUGUGUGUGCCUUCAAAACAUAAAUCACUUCCCCUAAAAUCAAUUUCACUGAUGUUUAGGGUUUAAAUUUAUGAUUGAGAUCAAGGUGGUGAUUUUGCAAAUACCAAAACAUUUGUUAUUGUUGGUCAUCUUCAUGUAGACUAAACCCAAUAGAAAAGUCAAAAUUUUCCAUUAAGUUUAACCACCCAACAUUUUAUGUUUCAAAUGUUGUUUUUCUGUCAAGGCAAUUAUUAUAUUUUGCAGGAUGAACCCCAAAAGAAGUUACUUUUGUAGACCUAUUAAAAAUACUAAAAUUUACUCAAUACUUAAUAGGGAAUAUGUUGGUAAACAAAAAAACUAAAUUAUACAUUUUCCUCAUACCCAUAAAUAGUUUCUUUUGAUUCAAAAACAAUAAAUGAUUACAAGAAUCUUAUCAAUAAUAAACUUCUCAAAUUCUACCAAAUUUCCAAAAUAUUCAACCCACUUAACCUAAUUUGGGAACUUGGAACUUUUAUAAACAGAGUAAUGUGUUGUUUUAAUUAAUUGUCCAUCUAAUGCACAUUAAAGUGAAACUAAGAUUAAACUUGACAGUUCAACUAGUAGAUUGACCAAUUAGAAUAUACUUUAAACUGAGUUAUUUCUUAUGCCAAAUACUUGCAAUACACAUACUAAUACACUUACACUAAUACAAUCUGAAAGUCAUUGGUGUUAUGCUCAUUAAAACAGAAAGUGAACUAAUCAUUUUUGUGAAUCUUGAUAAAUUUUAAAAGAGUUUGCUAUUAGCAUUUUUCAUCAUUUAUUUAAUGUUAUGUCAUUUAUCAAUGUCAAGCUUUAAACUUAUCAAGAUUAGUUGUUACCCAUAACUUUAGUCAGUCUUUGUAUACCUAACACCUACCUGACUUCAGUCAUUUUGAUUCUAAGUUCAUUAAUGGUUGUAUACAACAUACAAAAUACAAAAUGCUGAUUGAAACUAUGUUGAAAAAAUUCCUAUGCAUUAAUAAGCUUCACAAAAUGAUGCUCCUAUCAAGCAAAUCAAUUCUUCUUUUUGGAACCAGAUUCUUUUUAAACCGAUCCCCUUCACUGAAUGUGGGUUAUGGCCAAUAAAAUCUCCUUGUAUGCUUCAUUUCAUGGUUCCAAAGCCAACGAGUCACGAGACCUUCUAACUUUUGCUAAUUCAGAUUCCCUGAUCAGCUAUAACCCACUAGCUUGAGCAAUAUAUAAGCAUAGCACCAGCUGCAUAUUCUCACACAAACUUUCCCUUCAACUAAAAAAACUUCUUUGUUCUUUUCUCUUUACCAUUAAUCUUUCUCUUCCUUUCUAGCUAGCAAAGUAAAACAUUACCAUCCCUCUUAGGCUCUAGUGAGACAACAACCUAGAUUAUCAUCACUCAUGGCCUCAAGCUCUAUCAGCAAACAAAAGCCUUCUGACUCCUCUUGGACACCAAAACAGAACAAACUGUUUGAAAAAGCUCUUGCAAAAUAUGAUAAGGAUACCCCAGACCGGUGGCAGAAUGUGGCCACAGCAGUAGGUGACAAAUCUCCAGAUGAGGUUAAGAGACACUAUGAAAUCCUCUUGGAGGACCUCAGACACAUAGAGUCUGGCCAUGUUCCUCUCCCCAAAUACAGGUCCACUGGAAGCAGCACCAAUGUUGAUGAUGAAGAGAGGUAAUGCAUCUUCCUAACCAAAUCUCUCUUUCUUUCCAAUUUUUGUAAUAUACUAUAUGAUAUGCAUGCCAUUAACCAACUACCUUUUCACAUUAACCUUCUCAAUUUGUAAUCUUUCUCAUGCAUGCAUUGUUCCACUGUUUGUCCCUCUUUAAUAUAUGUGAUGUGAGACAAAGGGGUUGACUAGAACAACCAUCACACACAAAUGGUUGCAAAACCAUAUUUUAUAAGGUUAGUAUAAAAAGUAGCAGCAGCUGAUGACUUCUGCAGCAUUGCUCUGCAACUGGGUCACUGUUUAGCAAGAAAAAAAGCACAAAUCACAAACUAAAACCAUUGACAUUUCUUUUCUGUUUUCAUAAGCCAUUGAAUAGAAAAAUUACUUGUUAUACACCUUAAGUUUCAAAAUUCUACACUCAACUAUUUAGCCACCUAACUCAUGCAAUUAGGUGUAGCUGCUUUCACUCACACCAUUUUUAUGUCAAUAUAUUUUUUAAAACUUGUGGCAGAACCCAGGUAACAAAAUUCUUGUGGACCCAAUUUACUAUGCACAAAUUUUAACUGUCAAAAUUUAAGUAUUUAUGAAAAGUUAAAGCUAAAGAGUCCGUAGCAAUAAUCUUACUUUUCCUUGACUGGACAAUAUUAUGCCACAUUGCAAUAGUUUCCAAAUACUUGAACACUUGAACAGAACAAAAGCAGUGAUGAGUCCCACUCACUUGAAUAAACAACGUGGUCAUUUUGUGACAACAAAUUGAGUGUGUAAUAUCAUAAGUUUUCUUGCAUUCUGCAUUAAUUUUUGUCACAAUUUUGUUGUUCCUGUCAUUUAGAUAUUUUCUAAUCUGCACAUGUUUCAUUUCAUUUGAACUAUUUGAUUGUUCCAGACUUCUGAAGUAUCUUAAGCUGAAUUGAUGGGAAGAAAAAAUGUUUGUGCUAUCCUCAGCUAUUGGCAGCAUUUAUGUGGUGUUCCUUGAUUCUGCAGAAAUAUCUUCCUUGCUAUCUCUCUCUACCUUGUUUCUCUAUGUUCUCUUUCCUACCAUUGUAAUUUAGAUUGUUUCAAAUUUUCAAUGAAUUAUCCUGUUGCAGAAAACAAUGUCAGAUAUUCUCCUACACCCUUUAAAAAGAUUAAAAAAUGUUUUGCUGGAUUAUAAUCACAUUGAGAUUAUAUAAUUUGUGCAUGAUCAGAAGAAUAAAAUAAUUAAACAAAUUGCUUUAGAGGUUGUACAGUUUAUCAGAAAGAAGAUAAAAAGAGAAAAGUGAAAAGUAACUUGAUUUUGCAUCGUAGUACAAAAGUACCAAACUCAUUAAUAUUCCCUCGUAUAAAUCAAACUGAGUGCAGCUUUACCUCAUCCUCAUGUGAAACUUUUGGUUGUGUUCAAGAUUGUAGAGGACUUUAACAUGGAUUUGAGCUUUUUCUUCCUGCUUUUCAAAUCAAUUAUUCCAAAUUGCACGAGUUAAAAUUGCAUAUUUUAGAAGAUGAAUAAUAAUAUUUACAAAACAAUUUAUACACAUUAAAAUCUUUAAUUGUUUAUUUAGUUAGUUUAGAUUGUUUUAAAAUUCAGAUUAAACAAAAAAGUAAAGUUCAAAUAAUAUUUUGUCUUCAUUUUCACUUAUUUCUAAUUAAUUUUGACUAAUUCUUGUUCUUAUUGGUGAGAUGUUUCAAUUGUUUGGAGUUCAAAAUAUUACCUAAUCAAUUCUAAAGUGUACAGUCCAAUUCAAUUUUUAAAACAAUACUCAGAACUUGCAAAUUUUUUGACAAGAUUUCAAAUUUUUCUAGAAAUUGAAAUUUGGGCUUUUGGUAGAAAUUUUGCUUUUAGGAUUGAAAAAAAAAAUAGUAUUUAUAAAUAUAGGUAAUCCCUUUUUUUCCAAAAAAAAAAAUUGCAUAUCAAACUUUUCAAGACAGGACAAGAUUGACUAUUCUUUAAAGUUAGUGUCACAGGUUGAUUAGACAUUUAAUACAAAUAAAGAGAAACUAUUAAUUAUAAUGCGGGUAUACUUUUUUCAAUUUUAAUUAAUUUAUUUAUAUUUAAUAAUAUUAUUUUAAAAAUAUCUAUAAAUAAUUUUGAUGAUAUCGAUUUAAAAUAUUUUAUUUUUUAUUUAUAACUACUUAGUUUAGUUAUCGAAGUAAAAUAUGUAUUAGUUGAUGAAUUAUAUAAAAGUAUCUAUAAUGUUGCACUUAAGCUUUCUCAACAAAAGAAAGUAAUGCAUUUGAUUUAACUAUAAACAUAAAAUAUUUAACCAACAAAAAUUAUGUAUUUACUUUCACGGAAGAAAAAGUUGAGUACUGAAAAAUUCAAUUCAAGUGAUAAAAAAAUAUGGAAAAUAUAUUUUAGACCUAAAUGCCACAUUUUGAUAAAUGAUUUUGGAUGUAGAACAAAACUUUAAACAUGAUUUAAAUGUUGUAAACAAAAAUACUUUGUAUGAAAUUUAAGAGAAAAAUCCUAUUGGUUUAUUUUUAAAUUCUUGUAAUUUUUUUAUGGUUUAAUAGUUUACUUUAAAAGUUAAUUUUGAUACUAUUUUAGUAUUUUUUAAAAUUUCAAUUAAAACUUACUAUUUUUUAGACGUAAUAAUCUAAUUAUUUCUAUCAAAUUGACCAAAUACCUCUUUUAGAACAGGUGAAGAUAUGAGAAACAUGAUGUGUUCAAAUCUAUGCUGAUUCCAUUGUUUGUUUAAGAAUUCUUCAACAGAAAAAAAGCGUGUCCAUCAUGUUCAACAUGUUUCAGCUUGAUAUACUGUGCCAAUAUACUGUGACAUGCUAAACAUACAUGGCAAUAUUCAAGUUCAAUCUUCUAGAUAUGAAAGAACUGUGAAAAGUUUGUCUUGAGUUGUGAAAAGUCUGAGCCAUUUUCUGAUUUAUGUGUGACAUGAUCAAGUUAGCAAAAUUCAGCAUCAAGAUACAUUUAACUUCAACCCUUUUCAGAAAAUGCAUUUACAAAGUGAAGAAGUUGAAGAUACCUUGCCUUUAAAAGCUAUGUUGCAGACAUCAUAAUCAUAAUUCAUAUACACUGCAAUUACUUACACGCAAAACAGUUUCUCUCAAGUGACCAAAACUAAGACUAAUAUAAACUUCAAUUACCUGAAAGUAGCUUAUCAUUGCUUCAAAAACCUGUUUACAUUGUCCUUGAUUCCAUUCAUUCACUACAUCAUCAUGGUUCAAAUCCAAGAUGAAACAAGAAGACAAUGCCUAAGUGUUUGGGUUGUGGGGGUGUUAUAGCAAUUGACCUUGUAAAGAACUUGUUUCAGCUUCAAGGAACAGUUAAGCAGUAGUGGUCAGCAUAGAGAUCAUCUCUCUGAACUGCUACUUGGUGAACAAGAGGGUCAUGCUGAUACCAAAAUUGCUUGUUAAGGGUUGGUGGGGACAGCAAUUCUGCUUUCAAAAGGGUUUUGGAAAGUUUUGAGUGGGUAUGAACUUGUUCAUCAUGUGAGGACUCAAUGGUACACAUGACAACUCAUUGAAAGAUUUUCAAUAAGUGUAAGAUUCAGAUGGAAAACUCUGGUGUGUUUGUCAAGGGACCUCAUGGCUGUUUUUGGUGAAGUCAACUGCAUCACAACUUGGUGAAGCUUCUCUUCCUUUUUAAUUUAUUGGCCAAGAAGCUAUUUGAAUUUAAGAACAAAAUUUCAAGCAUGUAUUUUACCAUUUCUGCAUUCAUGUUGGUAGCAAGGCAAUGAUUGAUGAGAAUAAGUAUAGUUGGCAGCAUGUGGAAACCCGAGGGAAGAAAUAGAAAAGAAAGUAUUUUUUUAUCAAAUACCAAUGAAAGUUCUAACAGAGACUACUGCAAGAUCAAACACAUUUAUAAGUAAGACUUGUAUUAACCAAGCAUGCUAAACCACUGACAGACUAUUCUUGAACUUAAGCAUGCAGAGAACCAUUUAUCCUUAAUGUACUAGAUGUGUCCAGAACAAUAUUUUGUGUUCCUUAUUAGACCAUAAUACUCUUCGGCAAUAGUUUUGCACAGAAAAACUGUUAUGUGACAGAUUGGGUUUGGGAGAGGACCUAAAGUGUAACAUUAAGGUUUGGGAUGUGAAACCCUCACCAAACAAUUCAAGAUUGCAUUGACAACUACCCCACUUGGAAAAAUUUUAAUGUUUUUGUAAUGUUUAAUGUGGACUAUACAUAAAUAUCAUCGAUUGUACAUUAAAAAUCAUCUUUAAAAUAAGUUUUAAUUAUUUUAAAAUAUUAUUUAAUAAUUAAACAGCAUAUCCAAUCAUUCUUAUCUAUGAAACUCAGACACUUCUUUUAAAUGAUGUAUCCAUGUCGGAUACACGUAUCAGUGUCUACGAGACACUUAUCGGUAAAGUGUUCAAUUCAAAAAAUAUUUGUGGGUUCUAAACACAAUUUUAAAAGAUAUAAAUACAAUAAUUUUCUAAAAACUCAAAUUUAUUGUAUAAAUUUUUAUUAUGAUUAUAAAAAUAAGGAACAAAUUGUUUUAACAGUCAUGAAAAAUAUCUUAAGUCAUGAAAAAUAUCUUAAUGCUCUCAAAAGAAUCUGGAACAUACUUUUACACAUAAAUAUUUAUUACACAAAUAGACACAUUUUUAUUAAAAGUUUGUAUAAGAUUGUAGUCAUAAAAGUAUUUAUAUUAUACAUUAAAUUGACACAUUUUUAUUAAAAGUUUGUAUAUAAGAUUGUAGUCAUAAAAAUAUUUAUAUGAUAUCUGUUCCACAUUGAUCAAUAUAAGAAAAACAAUAUUCAGUUUAAAAAAAAAGUUAAAUACAAAUAUCUAUAAAAAAGUGUUAAAACAUGUUUCUAUACUAUCAUGUUGAAAAAGAUAUAAAUGUAAAUCAUUGCAAAAUAUUACAAAAAAAAAAUUAUAAUUUAUAAAUACGUAUUUUAAAAAAUAAAACAGAAGGAAACAUUACCAAAAACCAUAAAAAAUAUAGAAACAAAUAAAUACGUGAAGGUAGACAAAAUAUUUUUAAACUAUAGUCAAAUGUGUAGAAAUAAUGGAGAAGUGUUACUCAUCCAAAAUAUAAAUGAAAAUUAAAGAAAAAAAUUAAACUAACAAUAUAAAAAUAAAUCAACUCUCUAAAAAUCCUAUAAGAAAAAACAUAAAUUUCUAUUCUUCCUUACUUCAAAAUUUAAAAAAAAAUAUUUUUUUAUAGCUUAGUAAAAGAGAGACUAAAUUUUGGAUUUUAAUUACUCAUACCAAAUCUACUCACAUUAUGUUCCAGAUCUAAUAAUCACUUCCAAGUAUAUUUCUAUUCUUCAAUUGAAUAUAUAAAAAAUAAUAGAAAAUAUAUUUCAAUUUUGACUUCCACUAUCUUGUAUUGACUGCGUUACGCUAGUAUAUAAUAAAUAAAUAAAAUAAUGAUGUAAAGAAAGUGUGAUUUGAGUAUUGUAUUAUGAUAAAUUAAUUAAACCUGAUUAAAUAUAAUUUGCCACUGUGUUCUUGACAUUGCAGACUUAAAAAAGUUGGAAGAUCAAUGAGAAAUUAUUUGAAUAAUUGGUUUUUUUACUAAUUAGUUCUGAUGUUAUGUUAUGCAUAAUUUAUGAAAACCGGACAAAUAUAAAAAAUAAAAGUGAGUGUAAAGCUGGCUGUAUUUAAAAAAGAACUGAUACAGUUAAAUCUGGAAGCGCUAACGUUAAGAAUAUCAUAAAACAGUAGAAACACACACGAGUGGUAGAAAUCAACACUGUAAUUUCAUAUUAUCUUUCAUUCAAGAAACUGUAAACAACCGGAUAUAUAGGUCAAAACCACGAACAGCAGGACCACAGAACCACGGACAAACAUCACCCAAAAUAGAACACCUAAUUUUAAUCAACUUAAUCAUAAACCCUAUUCUACAACACCAAACCCUAGUUCCAGCUACCAUCUCCUCCAUCGCCUCCACGAGAGUGGCGGGACCCACCAUCACCAUAACCACGGUCCCUGCCUCCACCGUAACCACCACCACCACCACCAUAACCACCACUGCGGUUAUACCCUCCUCCUCCUCCUCCCUCACGACGACCACCGUAGCCGCCUCCACCACCACCACCGUAGCCGCCGCCGCCACGGCUGUAUCCACCACCACCUCCAUAACCGCCUCCUCCACGGCCACCGCCGCCUCCGCCUCCUCCGCGAGACUGAGCUUCGUUCACAGUGAUGUUACGACCGUCAAGGUUCUGACCGUUCAUUCCUUCGAUCGCUUCUCUCAUGGCCUGCUCUGAGGAAAAGGUCACGAAUCCGAAACCCCUGGAUCUUCCAGUCUCACGAUCAUUGAUAAUCUACAAAUUAAAAUACCAUUGAUACAUCAGAUCUAAGACGAAACGCAAUAAAACAUAACCGAAUAGAACCCGAUCGAUCUUCGCCUUUGAACAAAGGAUGAAGAUGAACGUACCUAUUGGCGUGAGUAAAAAAAGAAUCAUAUAGUAACAAGUAGAAGUAUCAUAGAUCUAGUAACGCAAAAAAAUCAGAGAUCACAGAUCAGAAUGGGAGCGAGAAAUUCCGAAUCCGAAUCGUGUCAGAUCAGAUGCGGUCACUGCAACAAACAGACCUUGGAUUCAAGGACUGGCCCGUAUUUAGAGAAAGCCUUCUCCAGAGCUUCGCCGUCGGUGGCCCAUGCGAGCCCACCGACGAAGCAUCGAAACUCAACAUCAGCUGCAGCCAUUGAAAAUAGUACGAACCCUAGAAAUUUGGGAUUGCUGUGAAAGAGAUAAGAUUUGCACGAUGAAAGGGUGAACUCCAAGGGAUUAUUUUAUAGCAGCUGGACUGUUAACCAGGGUUACAGUUUAUGUGUUGCGCCUAUACCAGGGUUAAAGCUAAAUCAAUCAUGGUUCAAAUUAGGUCAUCACAAAUUUUGGGCCCAACCUUUUAUUCAUUUCUUUAAUGGGCAUUGCUAGUCCAACCCCACCCUUUCCCAUUCCCCUAGAUUUUUUCGUACACCCAACUUUAAAAUAAAUAAAUAAUUUUUUGACUAAAAUGGUGCUUCGAAUGAGCCAUUUCUUAUUUAUUUUAGCCAAAAUCAUGCUUCUUAUAUUCUUUUGAGAAAAACGGGGUUGAAAUAAAUGCAUUGAAAUCGCCAACCCAAAGACAAAAUUAUUUUAUUCAAAAUAAUUACAAAAAUUUAAUAAUAUUUUAUUUAAUUUUUUUUAAUUACAAGUGUGAAAUAACUAUAGUAUUUUUAAAAUAAAACAAACUUAAGUGUGAAUAUAAAAUACAAGACUCUAAGUCAUAUAAUUUAAAGUAACUUUUAUUAUUAAAACUAAGUGUAAAUAUAAAUAUUAAUUUAAAAAAUACCUGUAAUCUGAAAUUAUACAUAUAGAGAGAGAGAAACUAAUCUUAAUUUCCUAAACUUUAUUUAACAGUUAUUUCUCAAAAGAUAUUUUAAUCUUUAAGAUUAUUGCCUAUAAAGAUAAUUUUUUAAAAUAUCUUAAGUAAUUAAUUUUUAUUAUUUGCCGGCCACAAAUAGGUCCACCGAUUACGGAUUAAUUAAAAUAUUACGAGAAUAAAUGGCUAAGUUGGUUCCAAAUAUGUAGUCUGUGCAACUAAAUAAGAAACUGUAAAAUGGAGUUUUUUCCAUAUCGAUGUAAUUUUGUUUGAAAUUUGCUAAUAUGGGGGAAUUUUCAAAAAACUGUUAGAAAUGAAUUUUUUGGUUUUUUGAAGUUAUGUAAAAAUGUGUUUUUUUUUUUCAUAAUAUGUAAUCAAUAUUUUUACUCUCAUGAUCAAACCUGUGUGAAUAUCCAAGCACAAAGUUAACUUCAAAAGAUAAAAAAUCAAAAUUAUUUGGUUUUUGUCAUUUUUUUUACAAGUCAAACGAAUUUUCAGUAAAAAAGGAUAUUAUAUUAAUUAAUGAUUAAUAUAGAUAUUAUAAUAUUAUAAUACAAUUUUGUUUCAUAAUAUAUUAUAGACAAAAAAUAUAUUUAAUCUCAUUUAAAAUAAUUAGUAAUUAAAAACUUAAUAAUUAAUAUUAAAUAUUAGUUUAAUAUUAUUAAUAAUCUUUUAAGUUAUAAAAUAGUAUUCUUUUAAAGUUAUAAAAUAGUAUUUGAUUUAAUUAAUAUAGUAAUUAAUUAUUUUUUUCCUAUAAUUAAUUGUUUUUAAUGAUUAUUUUGUAGAUGUUAUUUGUUUGAUUUGUUAUUCAAUGUUAACUAUUCAUAAAUUGUUUGGUUUAGUAUAUAAACGUACUGGAGUAUUUAAAUUAAUGUUAAGAUUUGAUUAAAAAAAAGUUCUAACUUAUCUUUAAGAUGAUAUGUUCUUUCACUAAUUAUGUUAAAUAUCUUUGACUCAAUAAACUUCAACCAAAUAAUUAAGAAAUUAUUUCAUACAUUUUUGUUUAACACGUUAUAUUUUGUUCACCAAAUUGUCUGAAUUUGCUAGACAAAUAAGAUUUCGUCAAACUAAUCUAAAACUCAGAAUAACUGGAAAUUUAAUAUUUAAUAAGUUGUAGUAUUUAUUAAUUGGUGUUUGUAUUGAUGUUUUGUAGGUGUAAUUGAUGCUUAUAUUAUGUUUUGUAUGGGUAUUUGUUUAGUUAUUUUUAAAAAAUUAGAGUAAAUAAAAAGACAUGGAAGUGUAAUAUUAAUUGAAGUAAAUUAAUAUGAAAAUUUAAUUUCAUUCACAUAAUUAUUUGAAUAUAAUAACGAACAAAUUAUCUAUGACAUAAUGUGUUACUUGGUGAUCUUCUUUGUUGUCUCGAUGGUUGUAUUUGUAAAGGAGGUGAGUUAUUGUUGUUAUUGUCUUCCCUUUGUUUGUUUUCAAGUGGAAUAUCAUAUUCUUUUGAAGGAAUUGUUGGGCGAUAGCAAUACAUGAAAUGAACUUUACGAAAUAUGAAUGAUGAUGUCAUUGUUGAAGUAUAAAACUAAUGUGAUGGAUCCGAAGAAAAAAAUAUUUCCUUGUGAUGGGAACUUGUUGUAAGUCGAUGACACUUGUUUGUAGGAAGAUUGGACAAACAUAUUUUGUUGGUACUUAAUAAGUGUUAGACAAUCUAAAUCCUUAUAUUUAACUAGAGUUGUAAAUUUCUAACAAAAAACGAUAAUGCUUAACAUAUUUUAACAUUGUGAAUAAAUUUGACAUGUUAAUUGUUAUCACUGUGAUAAUGAUUUUUUUUUAUAAAAAUAUGAAGGAUCCAUAUUUAUGAGGUAUUUUUAAUAAUUUUAUAUGCGAGAGAUUGAUAUAAUUGACUUUUAUACCGGAUAUCAAGAUCAAUCAAAAUAUAUAAUAGUAUCAUAUUAAUCAAAAUACAAAAAAGAAAUAAUGAUGAACCUAAUUCAUACUUUCCCAAUUGAAUCAACAAACUCUUUGACUUUUUUUUAAUAAUUACAAUCAAUGACACUUCCAACAAACUUUAUUUUAUUUUCUAUGUAAUAGAUUUUUUUUAUUUGAUUAUUCAACUGUGAAUUCGAUAUCCGUCAUAAAAAUUAUUACUUUUAGACAAUAUGUGCAUUUCCGUAAGUCACUCAUUAUAGAAAUAAUUUGUUUUCACCCAUUUGAAAAAAAUCCCCUUAUUAUUACACUAAUUUAGAAAAGAAAAAGACAUGUAUGUGUGGUAUGAUAAUUAUUAAAGAUAUUAGUUAUGUGUGAUAUAGAUAAUUAUUAAAGAUAUUAGUCUAUGGAUAAUGUUUGAUUGGAAUUAAGUUAAGAAAUUCAAUAAAAUUUCAAACUCUAAUAUCAAAUAUGUAUAAUGACAUAACUAAAAUUGUUAACGUAUAAUUAUAAUCACAUAUUUAUUUUCUUUUAUUGAAUUAAUUUGAGUAGUUACCGCAAUUUUUAAUUUGUGGAAAUAAUAAUUUUUUUUACAUUAUACUACAACAAAAUUAUUAAAUAGAAAAUAUUUAACAAAAAUCAAAAGAAUCAAUUUUUUUAUCAUUAAUUAAUUAGAUACAAUUUAGAAACUAUUUAACAAUAAUAUAAACUAUUUUAUAAAUAUUUUUUUUUAUUUAUAAAAUAUUUUUUAAUUUAGUUAAUAUAACAAUUAAUUAUUAUUUUUUAUAAAAUUAGUUUUUAUUUAAUGAUUUUCUUAUAGUGAUGUACCUAUUAUUUACUAUUUAUCGAAAUAAAAUGAUAUUAAAUAUAAUAUGUACACUACUAAAAUAUACUAAUAUAACAUAAAAUUUAUGCCCGUAAAUUAUAAGAAUAAAAAACAUAUUUUAAUGUUUUAAAAUAAUGUAUCUCUCUCAACAAUAAAAUAAAACAUCAAUUGAGAUUAGAGUAUAACAUUGUUGUAUUCAAGUAAAAAAUUUAAAAUUUAUCGAAAAGACGUUACACAAUAAAACUUAUAAAAAUGAAUUAAAACGUCAUAAAAGUAAAUUAAAAUGUCAUAAUAAUGAAAAUUACAAACUUGUAAUAUAAUUUGUUUAUAUAUGAUUAGUUAAUUUAAGUAUUAGUUUUAUUCCGGUUGAAGAUCAUGUCACAUCCAAUAUUCUUCUAAUAAUUCAAAAAGUUUUGUUUCUAUGUAAGUAUCAGUUUCAAUCAAAAUAAUAUUAAUUGUUAAUUUAUUAUCAUGAAAACAAUAUCAAUUAUUAUUCUGUCUAUUAUCAGAUUUUAUUUAUUAUUUAUGCAUAAAGUUAAAAACAAAUUCAACGAAUCAAUAAAUUAUUGAAAGAAUAUAUAUUUUUUAAAUUCUGGAGUGUCAUUGUAGGACCAUCAUCACAUGAUAAUGAUGCUGUUGCUGAGAUAAAUCAAAAUAUCAUUCGUCCCUAUCACAAAAUAUCUCGUGUUUGAAAAAUUACUUUUUUAUCCCUCUAAUUCCUUUAUGUCCUUUUUUAUUUUAUUUUAAAAAGGUAACUUUUAUAAAAUAUUUAUGAAAUAAAUCAAUUAUAGAAUAAGGAAAACAUAACUAAAUCCAACUUUGAAAUAAAUGUAAUUUCCAAAGCCAAAUCAAUUCAAUUAUAUCAUCAAUUCAUUUAUGGAAUGUGCUAUUUGUGGUGAUAAAGCCUAUAUUUUAUUUUUUAUUACUUUAAAACAAAGUUUUCUUAAUUUAAUUUAAUUGUGUUCGACAAAAUAAUAUCAAUUUACAUAAGUAAUAUAAAUUUCCGAAAAACAAUAUUUUACUUUAGAUAUUCGUCCUUUUAUAUUUGAAUUUUAGAUGUAGUUCAAUUUUGUUACGUUUGAUUUUGUAUUAUUUUUUUAAGUGAGAUUCACCUUAAUAAAUUUGUUAUUAUGCUUCGUUUUUUCAGAAGGAAAAACUGUAUUAUUAGUAUACUUGUUGUUAGCCCUGGACUUAAUUAUAGGCCCAUUUAAAAAUAAUACGAAUCAAAUGUUUUUUUUAUAAAUAAAGUGAAGUUAUUGUUUUUUUAGAUUAAAAGGCUACUUGUGGUUAAAAUAUAUUACGGUUUUGGUUGAUUUUCAUUAAUGGGUUACAUAUAUUAUUUUAUAUAGAAUAAAAUGUCUAUUCAGUGUAACACUUUUGAUAAAAUAUUUUUUGAGGGAACAAAAAAUAUAAAUAGAAACUUUAAUUAUAUAUAAUUAAACUCAAAAUUAGUAUAUUAAUAUAGAACAUAUAUAUAUAUAUAAACUUUAAGAUGAAAUCAUAUUUAUUAAAGAUAAAUAAAUAUUGACAAUAAAUAAGAACAUUCCUAUAUAUUUUUUUUUUUAAUUUUAGUUUCCUCAUCUUCUCUACCGGAGAUAGGAAACUUUCUUUCGAUAUGAAAGUUAAAUAAUAAAUGAUGAUAAAAAACAAUCCAAUAAAAAGUAUAGUCUGUUUUUUUAGAUUUAUCAAAACUAUAUUAUUAAUUUAGCGUGAUAAAAUAUAACAUUUUGAAUGAAAUUAUUUAUCUAUUUUUAGAUAAUGUGCAUUCAAAUAUUUACUUGUUGAUUAUUUUGUUCCACACAUAUAAUAUAAUAUAUAUGUAUGAAGAUUUAUUAAACUUGUAACUCACAAAGAGAUAUAGGGUUUGUAUCACAUAGUAAAGGAGGUUGGUUAUGCUCUAAAAUGUGGUGUGUUUGGUCUCCUUAUUAGUGAUAAGAUUUAUCAUCUAUUUGGUUUAAGUUAGGAGUGAAAAAAUGAUUCCACUCGACGUGUUUCAAUCUGAUUCAUUGUUGACACGUUAAAGUUUUACGGACUGAAAAUAGUAACGCGCCUUGUUACAUGACGGGUUGAUGGAUUGACUCGCAAAUUUUUAUUUUUUUAUGUAUAUAUUUUUUAGAUUUAUUUAAUUGGUUAUAAUAAUGAAUAUCACUUUCUGAACAAUAAAAAUAUGAUAAAGAACAAUAAAAUUAAAUCAAAUUUCAAUAUUAUAAUGAAAUAAAUUUUAAUACCUAACAAAAACAAAGUAAAUAUCAACAACACUUUAAUGAAUCAAAUGAUGUAUAAAGAAAUUAAUGUAAAUGAAAUUUUAUAUAACGCCAUUACCAAAUAUUUAUUCUAAAAGAAUGAGUUACCUCUUUAAAAAUUAAAAAAAAAACGUUGGAUUGACGAGUUAGACAUGUUAAUACAAAUUGAUAGGUUAAAAAAAAAAAAAACUCACUCCAAUUAAAUAAUGACAAGUUGACAAGCCAAUUUGCCGACCGCAUCCAUACUUCAAAUAACAACUAGCUCAUUCAACCAAUGGUUAAGUAUAUAUAUUAAUUUAACAAUAUUAUUUUAUAUUUUAAGAUUUAAAAUGAUAGUUAAAAGGUAUAUAAAUAUAUAUUUUUAUAUCACAUAUAAUAUAAAUCUCAAUAACACUUUUUUUUUAAAGGAUCAACAGUUUGAUGUCUAUUUUUGUUAUUAAAAAACAUUUUCCUAUUUCCUAUGAAAAAAAGAGACUAUUCAUGCUUCAUCUCAUGGAUGGCUAUUAUUUCAUAAUUUUAGUCAAAUUUUAUUUGCAGUACUCUAUGUUAAAGGAAUAGUUAUUUGUAAAAAUAUAUAAUUGGUGUUUAGAAAGUAAAUUAAUAAAAAAAAAGUGUAAAAAAGUUAAUAUUAGUAUUAGUAUUUGGUAUAGAAAUGUAGUGGAUAAGACCUUAUAUUAAUUUAGGAUUGAUGUACUUAUCAAUAAGGUCCUAUGGUCUAGUGGUUAGGACAUUGGACUCUGAAUCCAGUAACCCGAGUUCAAAUCUCGGUAGGACCUUUUCAAUUUUUUUUAAAAGUUUUUGUUACAUAUUAUUUGUCUACCCCAAAAGCAAUACCUCUUUGUAUAUCCAGAGAAAAGCUCAGUGCCUGUUCUUCUAACAGUGACAACUGUUAACUCUUAUCCUUUGUGGAUUGCAAUUCCAUCUUCACAUUGAAUAGAUGUUUAGUUCCUCUGUUCCACUGCACAAACCAAUAACAACAUGCACCAUUUUCAAUUGCCAAAACCCAAACCAGCAUCACUCCAUUCUCCGCAAGCACAAUUCCAAAUCCACCGCGUAUCUCCUUCAGCAUCUCGCCCUCAAGGAUGGAGUACCCGUUCCCACUUCCAUUCCCAAACCCAGCGAGCUUCUAGACCCAAUGCCCCACGAUGAGAAAGUGAAGGUUUUGGAGCUUUCCCUCGUCAGGAAAAGGACCCCUCAGUUUCCGGGUUCCAUCUACGCUCAGUCUCCCAGCGACUCCGAUGUGGGUUCUUCUCUGCCCCCUAUCCGUACCCUCUUCCAAUCAGGUACUAACCCUGAUGAGAAGGAAGAGGAGGAGAAGGAGAUGAUAAUGCGCGCUCUCGAGAUUCGCAGAAAGGUCACUGAAGAGGUUUUCAAAGAAGCCAUGCGAAAGGGAAAGUUUGGAAUUACCUACUCUACCAAUUUGAUUGGCAGGUUAUCCGGCUUUCUGGAUCACAUCAUGAUUGAAGCUGCUAACUUGAAAAGAUUGCCCGAAUUUUCAAACUCCACCUUCAAUUUACGCGCCAAAACUGUCAUUGAUGACUCUAAAGUUGUGCCACUUAUUAGGUAAGAACUGAGGUUGACAAGUUGUUGGUAAGCUGUUUGUUCUGUUGUCUGAGUGAAACUGAAUGGGGUGAUGAAGGUUCUAAAGCGGUUUGCUGAUAAAUGCGGCCAAUGUGGCUGCAGUAACAGUGGUGAUAUGAUUGUAGUUACUCCAAAAAAUCUUGAUGCUAGAUUGCUGACUAGGAAUUUUUUUUUUUUAAAACCUUGGGGAUGAUCAUCCUUAUUAGUUAUUUCUAAGAAGUGUUUUCAGUGUGAAAUUUCAAUUUCAAAUGCUUGUGUUUGAUUGUCCAGAUGGUUGAAGCAUAAUGCACUGUCGUAUCCUCGGAUAGCGAAGAUCAUUUUGAUGUCAAGAGGAAAACCUGAGGCCAUAAGAAGUUUUGUCAUGUGGUUGAAAUCGGUACGUGUGAAAGGUGAGUUUCUCGGUGUUGUAAUGUUGAAGGCUGGAGAGAAUAUUUUGCAGCGCAGACAUGAGGAGCUGGAUGAGAUUGUUCAGUAUUUGGAGGCAAAUGGAGUAAGGAGGGAUUGGAUGGGUUAUGUCAUUAGUCGUUGUCCUCAGUUAUUGUCUUACAGCUUAGAAGAAGUGAAGACUCGUGCACAUUUCUUCAUAGAUAUGGGUUUAAAUGAGAAAGAUUUUGGUACAAUGGUUUUCGAUUUUCCUAGAGUUCUUGGUUACUAUUCUCUGGAAGAAAUGAAUGAAAAGGUACAUUAUAUUUUGACACACUGUAAAGUAAGAAAGCUGUCUUGCAGUAUAUCCUUACUGUCUUCUCUAAUGCUUUGUUAGUUUAUUUGGUUUUAGUAUUAUCCAAAUCAAACACAAAGGAAGUUCAAAGGCUUAAGUAUAAAGUUUACUUUGAUGUGAAAGUUGAUGAUUGUUUGAUAUAUAGAUAUACAUGUAGUGAGAAGCUGCAAAUGUAAUUUUCAGGUUAAUUACUUAAAAGAAUUUGGGCUUCAAAUUGAGGAUGUUGGCAAAUUGCUUGCAUUUAGGCCACAAUUGAUGGCGUGCAGCAUUGAAGAACACUGGAAGCCUCUUGUAAAGUAUCUGUAUUAUUAUGGGAUCACUCGAAAUGGCAUGAAGAGAAUGCUUGUCAUUAAACCAAUGGUCUUUUGUGCUGACUUGGAGAAGACUAUUGUGCCAAAGGUAUACAAACACUUUUUUAUUUGUUUAUGUUAUCAGUUGAGUGAUGUUUGAGAUUAAGGUGGCAGGUGGUACAAUUCAGUAGUGGUACUUUGUACAGAGAAUCUGUUUUAUUAUCAUUAUUUUCACUCCUUCAGCUUAUGAGGUCUUGAUGUUAUCGUAUUCUUACACACUAGAAGUGCAGUAGAUUCAGAAAUAAAGUUUCCAAUGACUUUUAUAUUUGUACUUGAGAAUAAUGAGAUAAUUGUUAUUUUAUUGUGAAGGUACAAUUUUUUGAAGAUAUAGGGGUUCGCAAGGAUGGGAUUGGCAGCAUGCUUGUGAAGUUUCCACCUCUACUCACUUACAGCCUGGAGAAGAAAAUUAAACCAGUGGUUUGUUCUUUUCUUCUACAGCUAUGGUAGUUCCACCUUAAAGUAAUUUUUUCAAUGCCUUGCUACUGCCCUGAUGAUUUUUUUGUUAAGAACGGAAAAAGAAAAGAGUCUUCAUACUAUGUUCAGGAACACCUGAUAAAAUGGGUGGACCAUUGACCAAAUUGAAUAAUAUCGUGCAGUGACGAAGUUGUAUGGAAAAUGCUAGUAACACAAUCUGACACUCUUUGAAUACACCUUCUAUCAUUGGUUGAAAUAGAAAAAAUGUGAAUCUCAAGUCUUCAUGAUUUUGUUGUAGUUUCUAAUAAAUUUCAACUUGUAAGAGUGCGUAUUAGAGAGUGUGUUGUGUAGCUAACAUUCCUCAAAUUAUAUUUAUUUAUUUGUAACCAAACUCCACCUACAUAGAUUUCAAACCACAUCCAGAAAGGAUGACCUAUGAACGGAAAUCUAUGCAUGAAGUGCUAAAAAGAUUCCCUUCAUGUAAAAGAAAUUGCUGCAUGGACAUAAUAAGUUAAUCACAAUAAUUAAUUGUCUGGCUCAUCUAGAAGCAUCAAUUGAAUCUGUUGCUGAAAUUUGAACAUUGUAUAGGUCAUAUUCUUGAUGACCAAAGCUGGAGUCACUGAGAAAGAUAUUGGCAAGGUUGUGGCUCUUGGACCUGAGCUCUUGGGAUGCAAUAUAGUACAUAAGCUUUAUGUAAAUGUAAAAUAUUUUUUAUCUCUUGGCAUACGUCUUCGGCAAUUGGGUGAGAUGAUUACUGAUUUCCCAUUGCUGCUCAGAUACAAUCCAGAUGUCCUUCGUCCAAAGUAUAUUUAUUUGCGAAAGUCCAUGGUCCGGCCUUUGAAAGAUGUCAUUGAGUUUCCAAGGUAUCGCAUAAUUAUAUUUAACCUCAAGUAGAUUAUGUGAAAAUAUUCUGUUUGAUUCUUGUUUUUACCCAUUGGUUGCUUGUCAUCAAUUAUCUAUGCCCCUCGCCAUUGUCAGGUUUUUCAGCUAUUCUCUUGAGGGUCGAAUUAUCCCAAGGCACAAGGUUCUAGUGGAGAACCAUAUUAAUAUUAAGCUGAGAUACAUGUUGGCUAACAGUGACGAAGAAUUCCACAAAAUGGUCAAGGAUUUAAUUGGAAAGCGCAAAAGAUUUGAAUCUGCUGUCACAAAUGAGGGCACUACCCAUCUCCAAUCUGUUGUUACUGAAGAUAUUUCAACACCCCUAGCAUAAAUUUUUUUGAUGGCUCUACAGAAAGAAGAACGGUGGUUGAAUGUUAGAAAUUAAAGCUGUAUAGUAGCUUUGGUCUCGUAACGUCAAUGGUCAGAGAAGUGAUUGUCAUAUAAUAACGGUUGGUUUAGAGUGAGUGAGAAGGAGCUCCUACGUCUUAAACAAAAAGAAGCCUGCAACUUGGCAAGCGCUGUCUCGCAUGUAAAUAUAGAAUUUCUGCAGAGUGAGGCAAUGACAUUACCUCUGUGGAGUCCGUAACUGAGAAGAUCUAACAUGUGUACUCUUCGCAAUUAUUCUUUAGGAUGGUCUUUUAUGCUCACUGUAAAUUUACAUCUUCCACUUAUCAUGACCAUUUUUGUUACAUGUCUGCUUUGUUCUUCAAUGGAUCUUACUUUCGCCUGUGUUUUCACCUUAAUCUGAAGGUCAACACUCUUUGAUAUAUGAAAUCCAUUUAAAAUUACUUCAGCCUAUCUUUCCAGCAAUUUGUAGCAUGGCCUUCAAAGACAGAAUUGUCAUCACGGGUUUCAUAUGAAAAACCUAUAUCCGUAGUAUUAAAUUAUUUGAAAAUGAUCAAGGUCCAAAAGCCGCAUAAAAUUUCAUUGACCACAUCAGAUAUAUAUGCUAACCUUGAGAUAGCUUUAUGCUAUAAUUCUUCUCUGAAUUUACAUUAUUUUUAAGAAUAAUAAAAGUUAUCUGCAAAAGAUAACUAAAAAAAUAUUACAUUAUUUGAGGUUCUUACUUUUUUAUAACGAGUUCAAAAGAAACUAAAUAUAUUUAUUAAAAAUUUACCCGUAAAAAAGAUUGAAAAUCUAAAACCAGAGAUGAUUUAUUUACUAUUUUUCCUUAAUAUCAUUUUUUUUUGGAACGAUGUGUUCAAUUAGUAAAAAACCGAAACAGAUCACUUACAAUGUGAUAACUUAAUAAAAUCUCAAUUACAAGAAAUUGAAAUUUGGUAACUUUUCCAUCAAUUAUUUUUCACAACACAAGAAAAAAUAAACACAAAAGGCCUAACUUUUUUCCCUUAUCAAAAUUCUUCAUCUAAAUUUGAACUAAUAAUCUACAAGUAGUGUUUAAUUUUAGAGACAAAAUAAAUUGAAAUUUGUAACAGAUAAGAAAUACAAGAGACAAACAUGACUCAUUUUAGUCAAUACCAAGACGACAUAUAGGAUUUUUCUUUAUGAGCCCAAGAUCCACCUGUGAAAACAAGAAAAAUAUCACUACUACGUUUAACAAAUAUUUAAUUUAAAAUACAUACACAAAAGACCCAUCAAUAUAAUAGAUUGUAUUUAUCCCUUAAAAAUACCUUGUGUCCGAAGAGAUCUCUGAUGUUAUCUAUACCGUAAAGAAUCAUUGUUGGCCUGUUUCCAGAUAAAACAAGUUAAAUAAACAUGUACAUUUUAUAAGCUCUGUUAUUUGUAGUUUUGUACGACAAUUUUAAAUUUAAGAAAUUAAUUGAUUUUGUUCUCAGUAUGGCUUUUCCCACCUUUCAAGGGAAAGCCCCCACGCAAUAACUUGAACAUCUUCAGGAAGUCCCAUCGGCUGCAACAUUUCAGGCCUGAACAUGCCCGAGUUUCCUACCUCUACCCAUUUUUUAAAACCUUCAUGAUAACUGUUAAAAGUACUUGGUCAAUAAGUUAUCUCAGGAUAUCCGAAAUCAAAUUAGGACAUGCCAAGUAAAGACUCACCUAAAGAUCUCCAUGCUAGGUUCAGUGUAUGGAUUGUAAGCUGGUUUGAACUUCAGCUUGGUCAUGCCUAAACUCAAUAACAGAUUAAUCAUACUUACAACUAAUGCCUUCACACACUAACAUUGGCAGUGGAUCAUAUUCCUUCAACUCUCCAACUUACAUUCAACAUUUAAAUCUUGUUCAGUACAGGAGAACAUUACCUAAGCGUGAGAAAAAAUCAUGCAGGACUCCUAUCAAGUCAGACAGAGUGAGACCCCGAUCACAUACAAGGCCUGAAAUUAAAAAGAAAAUGUGAAAGGCACAAAAAGUUCGGUGGGUCAAACCACAACAGAAGCUGAAUAUGAUUUGAAAUAGGACCAUCAAAGAUGAUCUUUAUUCAUUUGCGAGAUGAACAAUUUGCAAAGAGUUAACAUCACAGGGCCAGUAACUGAUUAGCUCCCACAUACCUUCUAUUUGGUGGAACUCCGCAAGAUGUGUCCGAUCAACUGCUUCAUUUCUGAAUACACGAUCUAUAGAGAAAUAUUUUUUCGGGGCAAAUGGUUUCUGCAUAGACAUCAGAAUGAAGAGCAAAAUAAAGAAACAUGUAAGAUAUAAUUCAGAGCUAGAAACUUGGAGGAUAAUCACGUAUAAGUGUCAUAACUUAGUCCAGCUGAAACAAAUAUCUUGACAUUAAGAAAUUUCAUCGAAAUCAUCAGGAAUAAUAAGAAUAUUAGGAGGCCUGAACGGCACUAAACACCAUGUAAUCAUAUGUACCCACAAGCACAUGACACUGGCAAAUUCAGACAGAUACCUUUGCAAGUUGGUAAAGCAUCCUGGAGGAAACAGCAGUUGUAUGGGUUCGCAGGAGGUUUUUAUUUGCUUCCUCUCUCUUCCAGUCAUAUGCAUAUCUACCAAGAUAGAAAUUGCAAGGUUUUACAUAAAGCAUAUCCCUCUAUCGAUAGUAAAUAGCCAAUGCUAAAAGUGUUGAGUUCGGUCAAGGUCAUACCCUCUAGACUCAUAACCACCAGAUUCAUGAACUUGCUUCACUCUUGCAACAUAAUCUUCUGGCAAUUCCUUUGUUGUUGAAGGAGCUGCAGAGAUAUGUGUUUCAUGUUCUCAGAAUAGAAACAGAUGAUACAAGAUUAGCAUGAUGAAAACAACUAAGGUUUUUACUAACUUUCCAAAAAGAAUGUAUCAUGUGAAUCACGAGCUGGGUGUUGUUGGGGCUGGAACAGGGCAUCAAAGUUCCAGAAGCUGCAGAUUUUCAUUCAGAUGUAAAAUUUAUGGUGAGAGCAAAUUUAUAACAUUAUAACCUGUUGGAUUUAAUGCUUUUAAAGAUAAACUCUAUUAUCUACAUUACACAUAGAAUCAAGGGCGCCCAUUAACAAUCUGAAACUAGAUUUAGAAAUUUUUAUUUUUUUAAAUGCUACUUCUUUCAUGAUGUUGUAGUUGUUCACAAUAUAGAACACGAGUUUCUUGUCCAGCUCUCAAGCCACUACAAAAAGAACCUUUCAAAUCAUUUCUCUAUAAUAAGUUAAUAACAAAAGAAAAAUAGCUCCAGUAAUUAAUUUGAUGUCAUUCAAAGGUCCAAUGAAACAGGUUACAGAAGAUGAUAAUCAUCUUUGAAUACUCACAAAAAAUAAAUAAUCAAAGAUACAGUUUUCUCUCAUUUCUGAAAGGGGAAAAUUUUGGUUUCUGAAAUUUCAGUUAUACUGAAGACUUUGUAAAGGCACCCGCUUGCUUGAAAGCCUCAGUUAAGACCACAGAGCUUUUGUUUUAGUGAAAAAGAGGGUACAUAGAGAACUUGAUGAAAAAGAUACAAGGAACUUGAUAUAAUUUUUUUCAAACAACAAUUACCUGCUCUCAACAAAAUUAUUUGUUGGCAUCUCCUCAAACCUGCAGUACGAGAAAUUAAGAUUAAAAGAUGUUAAUCUUGUAAUUUGAAACGAAUAUUUACCACACAAAAACUUUAAACUUCCAAAUAACAAAGAUAGAACUCACCCCAUGCAGAGGAAAAUCUGUUUCAGCUGAGAUCGUACCUGAAAACAGAGAGAUUUUAGAAGUAUUGAACACAUUAAGUAUUGUCAAAAGUUUAUUUUUUGGGCAAUUAUUAAUAAAAAAAGUCAUUGUGCUCUAUAAAUAGCUGAAAUGACAUAAUUAAAUUGUCUGUCUACAUCAUACGGAUUUGACAACAGCCAAGCUCAACCAUCCUCAAUUUUGUGUGGCUAGGGACAGGCAAAUAACACAACAUAGGUAGAGAUUGCUUCCAUUAUAACAUAAAGUAGUAAAAUCUUUCAAUAUCAAUUUAAAAAUUUAAAUAUAUAAAAACACAUUAUAUUCUUGUUUGUUUUCCAGAGUAUAAAUAUUUUUUUAUUGUGAGCAAAGUUUCUAUAAUAUACAAUUUUAAUAUUAGUUUAAUCUAAAUAUCAAAUAAAGUUGGAAAAAAAUAAGAAACAAGGGAAUGUCUCCUUGCCUUCAGCAAUGGAUGAAGAUUGCCACCCUCAAGAGGCUGACCUUUAGCAGUAUAAUUGUACUCCUUGAACUCUAGAUCCUUCCACUCACCACUGACAUAAAAAAUAAAGUAAGUUCAUAUGAUAUGCAAAUCCACAAAUAAUGUCUUGCACAAAGUAGACAUUUGAAUUCGGAGAUUAUAACCCCAUUCAAUUUCAGUUUAAGCAAAAAAUACCUCUGAAAAUUUUCACGAGUGAGGUCAGUGACAACCUGCUUUCUUUUGGGCGCAUAAUUUGGACCUUUUUUCAAGGAGUAACCCUUCCACGUCCUAGAUCACAAGACACCAAGAAGAACUUUAAAACGAAAGAAUAUUCAAGUCAUUUACAGCACAUUCAACAUAUCUAAAAAGCUCUUCAACACAAUCAAGAGAAAUUAUUAUUACUGUGGGACAAUGAGUUUUCUUGCUUUGAGUGCUUUGAUCUCAUCUGAACCAAUGUUCUGCAUUUGCAACAUAUGGUAAAAAUUCUAAUCAGACAUGACAAUUUCACAGGGAAAACUGCUGAAGAAAACUAUAAGAUACUCUAAAAAACACUGAAAGGAGGAGGCAUUAAAUUCAAAACAAAUCCCCCCUUCCCACUUCCGGUAACUGUCUCAUAUGUUGAGUUGAGUAUGAUGCUCUGUAAUACCUUGCCAUUUACCCAAAUGUAUUAUUCCAAGUCCAAUGCAUAUAGCCAAAAAGAACUCCAUUUAAAAAACGGUUGAUACCAAGAAAUGACAUUACCUCGUCGUCUACCCCAUUAAUGAUUUAACAUGGCUCGUAUAUCUCCACAUUUCACCUCCUCAAUUUUCAUGAAAGUUCCUACCAUUCCUUAAUGAAUAGAACUUAGUGACAACCCCCUCCCCACCAUGAAAAAAAAUCUAAGUUCUUCAAAUUUAUUUCUAUUAAUGUAAUUAAAAAGUUUACUGACAAAAUUAUUCAUAUUACUACACAUACCCGCCCUUGUUGUAUUUGAAUAAGAAGAUCUUUGACCUUGUCAUCCACAUGUUGAACCUGCGGCAAGAAACAGACUUUUCUAAAACACUCGGUAAAUAAUGAAGUCAUCCCACAGAGUGCACAAAACGUGGUAUAUUUCUAAUACACGCAAAUGCACCUAAAACGAAGUACUGAAAAUCUAAAACCAGAAUCGCAGAAAAGAAAUAAUGAAAAUAAGCACGGACACACACUUUGCAAUCUAGAGCAAAUGUAGUUACACACAACAAAAGUGGAUUUGAGAGAGAAGAAAAGGGGUCGUAAACCGAAUUUCGUAAUGAGUUCACUAAAUUACAUCAGUCAACUGAACUCAGAUAAAGCGAGACUCAUUCCAUCUAUCCAAUAACCUAGUCGAAGUGAAGUACGCAAAUCCCAAUUUUCCUUACAAAAACAUUAACGUCAUAAAGAAAGAAACCCAACGUUACCUUUCUAGAAAUCAAUUGUUUUCCCAUAUCCACCCAUUUGUUCUUUGCAGCCUGGGCACAAGCUAUCUUGAAGAGUGAAGGAUCCAGCUUUUUCUACAACCACCAACAAUUUUUUUUUAUUACACAAAACGAAUAAAUUCACAGAAAGGAGAGUAAACAGA